Molecule: long non-coding RNA, 51583 nt
Filed under: Sorghum bicolor (sorghum)
Lineage: Eukaryota; Viridiplantae; Streptophyta; Magnoliopsida; Poales; Poaceae
Description: long non-coding RNA (SBIC_LNC011367)
Source: RNAcentral
GUCGGCGUCCUUCUUCCUCAACGCGGGGGCAUCGGUCGGGCAGGACUUUGGGGACGACGCGGGCAAUGGGCCGCACUCGUACCUGCAGGCCAACAAGCCUUUCCAUGGGCUCAUGCAGCUCCCCGACCUCCAAGGCAACGGUGCUGGGGGCCCUGGCGCCUCAGGCCCCAGCCUCUUCAACCUGGGUUUCUUUGCUAACAAUGGCAACAGCUCGGGGUCCAGUCACGAGCAUGCAAGCCAGGGGCUCAUGAACAACGACCAGUUCAGUGGCGGGGCAGGUGGAGGCGGUGGCGGCGGGGGCUCGGAGGUAUCGGCGGCGGGGAUUUUUGGCGGCAACUUCGUUGGUGGUGGAGAUCAAGUUCCACCGCCGGGGCUCUACAGUGAUCAAGCCUCCAUGCUGCCGCAGAUGUCGGCGACCGCUCUGCUGCAGAAGGCGGCGCAGAUGGGCGCGACCUCGAGCACCAACGGCGGCGCGGCAUCCAUGUUCCGAGGCUUCGUGGGCUCUUCUUCCCCUCACGUGCGGCCGGCGACGCCGCACAUGGAACAGAGCGACGCGAACCUGAACGACCUGAUGAACUCGCUCGCUGGAGGUGGCGUCGGCGGCGGAGGAAUGUUCGGCGGCGGCAACGGCGCCGUCAGCGCGGGGAUGUUUGACCCCAGGCAGCUGUGCAACAUGGCGGAGCACGAGGUGAAGUUCGGGCAGGGUGGCGGAGACAUGACACGGGACUUCCUUGGCGUCGGCGGAGGCGGCAUCGUGCGCGGGAUAUCGACGCCGAGAGGAGGAGGAGGAGACCACCAGAGCAGCAGCGAUAUGAGCUCCCUGGAGGCCGAGAUGAAGUCGGCCUCGUCCUUCAACGGUGGCAGGAUGCCAUGACCGACCCAUCGGCGGCCAUCGAUCGAGCUUAGACAAGACAUAAGUUCGCGCACAGUAAGCCAGAGACUUGAUCAACAAGCAGAUGCAAUGAGAGGAGUAAGGUCGUCGUUAUAUAGCGUAGCGGCAAACAAAUGCAAGUUAGCAACUGAGUCGCAUGAGUGAGUUCAUGCAAGGGAUAAAGCAAGCUAGCUAGCUAGCUUUCAUCAUCCGAAGGGACCUUGGGUGAGAGAGAAAGGCGUCUUCUUUGACUAAUGGAGUAAGCUAGAGUGCGAGUUGGACGCAUGUGAUGACCCCUUUGCUCGUGGUGGGGGUUGGUGUUCAUGCUGGUCUUGUUCUUGUUGGUUUUCCCUUCCUUGUAGUUGGAUAAUCUUUGUUGGAUUAAGUAUAGUUUCUGGUCAUAGAACCAAUAAGGAUGUUUGUAGCUAGCUUAAUGGGGGCGUGUGAUUUGCAGCUUAAUUAGCACCAUUCCCUCUCCUGCUAUUUUUUAUUUCCUUUUCUCUUGUAGCAAAACAAUAUUCCCCUUACAAUGCCAUUAAUUAUGCUAGCUCAAAUUCAUGCUGUUUUCCUGUGGAUGCAUAUAUAUACUAUAGUCAAGUGUUCUUUCUGCAGUCAACGAUAUGUUGCCAUGUUUUCUUAUUUAUUAGUCUGAAGUCCACCUCGCUUCAUUGAAAUUUGGCUGAUACUGAUGUUGAUUUGUUUUGAGAGAAAAUAUUGUUUCUUCGCUAAAAAGUACACUUCAUUAAAAUUUGGCGGGCUAAUGCUGAUUUGUUGUGAGAGAAAACACUACUUCACUCACUUUCUGUUUGAAGAUCAUAAAACCAUGCAUGUGUACACCUAGCUAGUAUUUCAUAUAUUUUCAGCCAGGAGGAUUGUUAUCAAGAUAGCGUUUAGGGUCUGAAAAAAAUCAAUUUCGUUUUAACAAAGUCAAAUCUUUUAGACCUUAUAAAUAAUUCUAAAUCCAUGUCAAAAUAAGUGUUGUUCUGACUAUGCACUUGCGGCUAUUUUAGGAUGGAGUUCUUUUCCUAGUAUUGAUAUAGUAUACAUGGGUGAAAAAGGUCAUUCACCCGAAUUUUAUGAACAUAUUAAUUAUAAAAAAAUGUUAUGGUGUUUUGGAGGAGUGCUACUUUAAGGUGUUGCGAGAAUUAGGAGAAAUAUUCAUUAUUCUAAGUUACACCAACUAUACUUAGAAAUUAUACCAAAAUAAUCAUUGACCCUGUAGUACAAGUGGUGUAAAAAAUGUAAAUCGAGCAUAAGUUGAUGGUAACCGGAAUUUGGAGGCGUGGAGAGAAGAAUCUUACUCUUUUUCUCUUCCAUGCAAGCCAUUUAGGAGAAGAAAGGGGAAAAAAAUGGGUGCGGUGGAGAGAAAGAUUUCCACCCGGAUACUAUGGGGGGGGGUUGUUUAGUUCUCCUUUGAUCCUAAAAAAUUUUGGGUUUUAGUUCAUUAUUUUACACAAUUGAACUAAACAACAUGUAAAUUUUUUUGGCAAAAUAGUUGUCACUCUCCAUUUUGGAUUUUGGCAUCAAGAGGCUAAAAAGCUCGAAAAAGUCUGAAGAGGCCAUAAUGAGAGUAAUAAAUUCUUCAUUUUGCAUGAAACUAAACAUAACUUUAAAAAAAUAUCAUUUUGUAUUUCAUCAUUGCAAAAUAGUUGACAUUUUAUAUUUUUCAUUCCAUGAAGAACUAAACAACCCUGGGUAGACAAACCCAAACAAAGAUAAGACAAACCCUAACAGAGAUAAAUAAAUUUGUUGUCUAACUAGUUUAGAAGGGGGUGGGUGGCGUAGCUAAGGUUCAUUUUAUACUCUCAUACGUUUUGUACUACUUCACGCUACAUUGUGUUGUUGCACGACAAGUGGAACUCCUAUUAAAUUUACUGCACAUAUGAUACUUGAGUUUUUUUUAACGAACAUAUGAUACUUGCUCUAACUGAUUGGCCACUUUGAUGAAGGACAGCACGAGCUGAUCUCUAGGGCAAAAGAUGCCUUCCUGCUGCCCAUGACUGUCUAUAGCGCUUGACCUAUAUGCACAGCACAUCGUGCUGCGGCUUAGCUUCUCGCUAAGCUCGAGCUUGCUACUGCUUGGUCGUGCUGUCUCUCUACGUUCGACAGAGAGCGAGCGAUAGGAUGUAGCUUUCGAUCGUCUCGUGCAUGCACGCCGGUCUAGCUCAGGCCCUGUUUAGUUCUCUCUCCAAAAUUUUUUCAUCCAUCCCAUCGAAUCUUUGGACACAUGCAUAGAACAUUAAAUGUACAUAAAAAAUAAACUAAUUACACAGUUUGGUUGAAAAUCGCGAGACGAAUCUUUUAAGCCUAGUUACUCCAUGAUUAGCCUUAAGUGCUACAGUAACCCACAUGUGCUAAUGACAGAUUAAUUAUACUUAAUAGAUUUAUCUUUCAGUUUCCUAACGAGCUAUGUAAUUUGUUUUUUUAUUAGUAUCUAAAAACCCCUCCCGACAUCCUUCCGACACAUUCGAUGUGACACCCAAAAAAUUUUCAUCUCCAAUCUAAACAGACCCUCAGGCGCCACACCACGGUAUGGGCCGCCCAAAUCAUUGCAUCCUUCUCAUCAGUAUAUAUAUCAAUCAUUCUCGACUGAAAAUAUUAAUUCAGAUAUUCUAUAUAUUAUUGAAUCCAUAUUGAAUGAAACAUUUGUCUGAAUAAUUCGGUUUACUUUGACACUAGUAAUAAAUACAUCUGCACACUCCAUAUAAUUUCCUCUGUAAACUAUUGGACCUUUCACUAGUAGAGAAAUAGGCACUAGUCUUGGUUCCCAACGCCCAUUAGUCCCGGUUUUGGAAACAGAAUUACACAAUUGGAACUAAAAGUCUCCAUUUUUUAGUCCCGGUUCCUAGAUAUGCUUAUUGGGUAAAAAAGAAGUGCAACUAGUGGAGAUUCGAACUUAAGACCUCUCACUUCAGUCUUACACGUGUUGCGAUCUCAACUCCCACCACACAUCUAAUGUAUAGACAAGAUAUGCUUUCCUUUUAAAUUCACUCUCGAGGCACCUUUAGUCUAGGUUUAAGACACAAACUCAGACUAAAGGUACCAUUAGUCUAGGUUAACCGAGAUUAAAAGUCACACCUUUAGUCUGGGCUCGUACCUCAAACCGAGACUAAAGCCUCCUGCACUAACACGUCUUGGUAAAUGUUACAACCGAGACUAAAAGGUGAAAUUAGUCCCAAUUUCUAUUACAAACUGGGACUAAAGGUCUCAUAUCACCUUCAGUCUCGAUUUGCAGUUUGAAACCAAAACUAAUUCUUUGGCCAUCGAUAGAAAGUCGUUUCUUUGCUGAUGUUUUUUUUAGUAAAUAUGUUAUAGGGGUGUAAACCCGUCUAGAUCCCCUUCAAAAAAAAUUCCUUUCUUCUUACCAAAUAAUUUGGCAGGAGUACUGCAUGCAUAUCAUUUAGGACCCGUUUGGAUGUUUUCAUUUGGGAGGAACUGAAAUGUGCUUUAUGGACUGAGCUAUUUUUGGCUUGGAAUUAGACAUUCUAAAACUUUUUAAAAUUUAGAUAUAAGUAUGUCUUAAAUUCAUGGUGCGAGAGAUAUAAAUAGAUUUAUAGAUCCUCAUCAUUCUAUAUUUCUGCUUUGUAACUUAUAACACCUUCUUCGAUUCGCUCCCCUGCAACAGAAUGCGGCACAUAAUUAUCUUCUCAUGUGGCCAACAACAGUAUACAAGUAUAUUUUGCAUGUGGUUAUAUUAGCUUCAUUGAUUUGUGCCUAAAUUGUUAUUAUUAGAAUGAAUUUCUCUUUUGAGAUUUAUUAGAAUGGAUUUCAGUUCCAAGGAUCAAUCCUGGUUCUUGCUUACAACUCCGUAAACAAAAAAAAAAUCUAAUUCUUUGAUUGAUCAAAGAAUUAGAUUUUUUUUUUGUUUACGGAGUUGUAAGCAAGAACCAGGAACAGUUUUUUUCUUCAACUCCACAAGUAGCUCCACUGAUGUAGUUGAAGUUGUUUUAGAAAAACAAAAAUUGGUAAAAACAACUUUUCAUAGUGAACAAGAGAGUUGGAGCCUUGGUGACAGCUGCUCGCUGAAUGGAUGUAUCGUCUAUUCUAGUAGCAGCAGCUUUAUGACGAUUUUUAGCUCAUCCAGCUCCCACCCUGAGCAGGUUUCAAGAAGCUCCACCUAAGGAGGUGUUUUAUUUUAACUUGUUUGGUAAAAAAAAAACAGCUUCAAACAGCUUUUACUGAACUGUUGGAGAGUUGUGCCAAAUGGAGCUUAUUAUGCCCUGUUUGGUUGCCCCAGUUUUAUUUUUAAUUUACUUCACAAUCGAGUAUUAAAUAUAUAUUAUUUACGACACUAAAAACACAACUAGAUAAUAAUUUACAGACAAAUCUUUUGAGUCUAAUUUAUCCAUAAUUGGACAUAACUGUUAAAUAAAAUAAAAAUACUAUAGCACAUGUUAAACUUUAACACCUCCAAAAUCAAACACCCUUGGAGGGAUGUCUAUACAGGACUCGGAAUAGUAGCUAGGAUCGAGAAGAAAAUUUUGCGGCGGAGGGGAAGACAAGAGCUAGGGCGUGGUUUGGUCAUACUGUAUGGUGGUUGGUACAUACAACUCUCAAUCGAGGCAGGACGACUCAGGAACGGAAUGUUUGGGCCUAACUGCUAGAUUCGCGGUUUGACCGUGGCUCCCUGUGUGGCAGCCACGCAUUUUGUGGAAGAUUUUGGCUCUCCUCUUGGCGGCCGCGCGCGGUGGUUACUGAAAGAGAAUUAUUGUCGGAAUGAAGUCGUCCGUACCUGCCUGCUGCAGCGUUGCGUUGACGGCGACGGCGGCGAGGCCAACAGCCAUGGCCGACAGGGACAGCUGCCGGCCGUAAAAGGCCACUAGUAGCUCUCGCGAUCUCGCCCGCAAAAGCGGCUGCGAUAUCCGAUUUUCCAAUGAUUCUUGGGAGGAAAGGGGAAAAGCAGGCAGGGCCGCGCGCGGCCGGGCCAGAGCAUGCAAAGCAUGAUGCUGAUGCGCCCGCCCGCGAUCAGCUGCUAGCCUUCACUUUUGUCUCGUGUGCUGUCCGUGAUCUGACGAUCGAUGAUGAUGAUGAUGAUGAUGAGAUUGAGCGUCAAGAAAAAGAUAGAUUGGUCACAAGUACAAUUGUUCCCUGGAAAGCCAAGCAAAAAGGUGAGAAUUAUUGGAGGGCGGAUGGAAGCUGCAGGGACAGAGCAUGCAUGCAUGCAUGGGUUUGUGAAUGCCUAAAAUUAAAGCAGCUACAGCUAGUAGUAGUCGUCAAGGAAGAUCUCAUAGUUAGUGGACUAGCAGUACGUUCACAUCAGAGAGGUUGGAGAGCUACUUACUAGUCGAUGCAAUACUGCCCUAAAGAUUUACAUAUAUGCACGAAUUUUGGUAAAAUCAACCUAGGCCACCUGUACUGUUUGAUACUUUAGCGGCAUCUGAUAGAGAUUAAUUAGUAUUGCCCCCACGUGACCGCUGUUACAGAGACGCGCAGAGCAAUGUACUGCGCCAAAAAAAUAAACAAAAUCAUCUCUAUAUAUGUGUGUGUGUGUGUCUGUCUAUCCAGCUCGAUUUAGAAUUGAACAAGGUAGCAACCAGCCAUGAGGAGGAUCUGACCAAUGUCCGCACGUGAGCUGAGCAAGAUAACUCUGACGCUUUUUAUCAGCAGCGCUCUUCCUUCCUUUUUAAUUGGCCGGCCGGGCUCCGAGACCUGGAGAAUCUCUGCAUUUACUAAUCGCUCCGACUGUCGCAAAAACGUGGGGAGGGGAGAUCGACGACGCAGAUGCUGCUGAUGCUGAUGCAGAUGCAGAUGCAGCACACCACACGGGAUGCUUGCUGCAAAGGUUAACCAUCCUGGGAACUCCUGCUCCCCGAUGAUCAGCGGUCUCCUUGCAAAGCAAGGACACAGUGCAAGCCUGACACGUAUAUAUGUACGGUGCGGGAUCUAUAUACUACUAUUACUCGUAUACUGUGUCAUGACCGGACCAACACGGUGCUGCGGCGUACGCUAAACUAGUAGGCUAGACUAGACAGAGUAGAAUAAUUAUUGUUAAUUAGGAGGGAGUACAAGAUUAGGCGCGCAGCGAAUCGGGGCGAUUUUGUUUAGGCGUGAAGGGUUAGUUGGGACGCGAUGCCGGGGUUUUGUUUGUAGCGUCGUCGCGGCGCGUUUGGCAUGUCCGGUGAAGAACCUUCGCCCGCGGGGGCGGGGCGCAUGCAGGCAAGCAUCAUGUCGCCCAAGGUCACGGGCGCAUCGUUUGGUUUCCGCGCGAGCGCGAGCGCGAGCGAAGAAUCCUAUGCAGCACGCGACGGCGAUGCGAUUGCGAAUGUCACGAUGCUGGGCUGCCUGUGCCGCCUGGCCUGAUGCUGAUUGCACGCCGUGCCCGCGCUCCUCUUGAUGCGUGCAUUUGGAGCCUAGCUACAGCUUUUCGGUCGCAAUCAUGUGUACGUACGCGGCUGUAGCUGUUGCCCUGCAGUGUGUCCCUGACUCCCCUUGGCGUACGUGGCACGCCGCACGCGAGCGAGCGUGCGUGCGCACGUACGUACGUACGUAGCUAGCUGAUCGGUGUUUCGGCAUGCUUCUUUUUUUUUUUUACCCCGUGGUAGAUUCGGAGAUCAGGGCGGCUAGCCCAGAGCUGUGUGGACUGUGGUGAGGUUCAGAAGUCACAAGUCACAACGUGGCACGGACUCGUACGGUUUUCGUGUUUGCAGUUGGUACGUGCUUGGUGUUGAAUCUCGUGAAUAGAGAGAGAGAGAGGGGGCCGGGUACAGCGAUUUUGCAAUCAGCAAACAGCUAGCUGCCUGCCCUUGCUGCAGCCGGUUCAUGCACAAGAUCGACAGUGGCCUGGCCUCCCCCGGCGGCCCGGCCCCAGUCGAUGGUGACGAUGACAGUAUUGGCCUCCCGGGGAGCAGAGUGAACGCCGGGUAUUGAAACAGUAUUGACUGGGCAAAAAUCUGACGUUUCCACGGAGAUUCCACGCACCGCGCAGGCACAGUUGCCGACUUGCCGUGCCAUCACAUUCACGCUCCUGUUCCGAGGUCCACCUCCACGAACGAGGAAGCAGGGAGCAGCAGCGCACGGCCACCGGCUUUGGUGGAUGCGGGGCCUUUGGUUUGGUUGCUGGCAUCGUAUCGCAUCACAUCGCAGCGACCUCCAAGCCCGUGGGCUGCGCGGCCCACUCCUGAUCGCGGGGGUUUCAAGCGCGUUCUUGGUGUCGCUAACGUCCACUUCUUGGGCCUCAACCGCCUCGCCCUCGUCCGUCCGCGCCUGUGUGUCCCCCGGACCCGGCAGCGCGGCAGCUGCGUAGGGCGUCAUGGCGCUUUUGAGUUUUCCACCGCUCGGCGUUGCUCUCCUCCGUGCCCACGACACCGGAGGAGGCACAGCGUUUGCGACGCGAAGGUUCGUUUCUUCUGUGAAGGUGGUGUAGAGUCCAGUCCAGCAAAUGGAAGCUACAAUAAAAAGGUAGAGCAAAGAGAUGUUCCAUACCCAUACUGCCAUGCGAGCUGAAACAAAGCAUCGGUGUGUUCUCAUCGGUUCAGGACGUACGUUACUGGUUGUUGGUGGCUAGAUCUUGAGCUCAAGUACCGUAGCGUGUAGUACGACAUACAAGUCAUGUCCGCUGUGCAACUAUCAGAUUCGGUCGGUUGUUCAGGUACAACAGCCGUUGCAAUGGUCCAGUCGACGACCGUGCUGUCGCUCCUUUUUGUUUUCGAUUUCACUGUUGCACGACCGUGCAGGCCCGGGAGUACCGAUGUGAUAGCACAGAGCCCAGCCCAACUGAAAAAGCAGCCAGUAAGUACCCUGCUCAAACGGGCCUUGGUACAUUGGGCACGUGAAAAGCGGGCAGUACCCUGCUUAAAGGAAAAGCAGGGUACAAUCAAGUCCAGAGUGCAGCCCAACUGAGACAAAUGCCGUGAAUGUGGAUGCGCCCGCGGCCCGCGCUUUCUGAUGUGCAGAGAGCAGCACGUCCGGGUCUGCACUGCGGAGAUUGACGAUGCAAACUGGGCACUGGCAACUGGCAGCAGGUUCACGAGCAUCCAUGCUUCUGAUGCGGGAUCGGCUUGGGGCUUCUGAAUCCAAACCCGAACUCUCUAGAGACUUGCUCAGAUGAACGUGGCUUGACGGCUAUGGAACUGACCCUCCGAGCUCCUGCCUAAGUUGCAACUGACCCCGUCCAUUCAAUAAAUGGUACUUUCAAUCAUAAUCAUAGCUUUUCAGUCAUGCGAACAAGCAAACCGAAGCCAAGCUUCGUUAUGUUCAUGAAUUUUCAGUCAAGCGAACAAGCAAACCAAAGCCAGGCUUCGUUAUGUUCAGCACGCAUUCAGCAUCCUCGCGUGCCGAGUCCACCACAGCCAGGCUUCGUUAGGUUUGAUAGCAUGGUAACAAAAGUACCCAAGAAACUAGCUGCCAUGAUCAUCGGAGAAUCAAAGCCUCACAAAAACAAUUAGGUUCGUCAUAACAUACACUAAGAUUGGCUGGUUACAACUUGCAACAAAUAGUUCACACAUCACAGUACUAAAGCUCCUCGAACUGCAGCGUCACAACAUCACGAAUACAAAACAAGCGUACAUAAAAUCCCCAGAUCACUUGAAUGAACUGGAAGUCUUAAUGCAUAAAUUCAGUGUCCGAUAGUAUCACCGAAACAGUGCGGAUACAUGGAAUACUCCAGGAUUCCUUGGUGAAUGCAGCUCAGCAGUAAAACAUGACACGCUUCACGUUUUCCUUGAGAGCGGGUAGGGGCCUGACCGCAACACUCCCGGCCCCUCUGAUGCCGCGUGCCCCACCUGGUGGAGGCCCACGGGCCCCACUGGCCAUUGACCCACUGUCAGAGGUAUCUGGCUCCAUGUAGAAGCGAGCUCGGAAGGCUGCCAGAUGAGCAUAGUAUGCCGGGGGCACUGCAAUCAAUAAAGCAAAGGUCAACAAUUUGUUUUAUGGAGUAGCACCGCAAUGGGUUGCCAGAGUAGACAAGAGACUGUGUUCUCAAGCUGGGCUUACCAAUUGACACGGAGCGAGUGCACCUAGCGUACCUGCAAAAGUGGAAACAAUGUUUAACAGGCAGUUGAAGAGGGCACGGGAAAUAAUUGAUCGAUGGAGCAGUAGAUGUAUUACGUGUAGCACAGGUUGUUUGUCAGAGUCUGCAGCUCAUCAGCUGUAAACUUGUUCUCAUCCCACAGGACAUGGUAAUGAGCAGGGCGGCUUGUUCCCUAAUGGACGUGAAAUUGCAGUCAGUAAUCAGCCUGUUUCAUCGAAGGAUGAAUUGAAAAGGGGAAUGAAAAAAACUAACCUGAAUGCCGGCAUGGCUACACAGGUAGAAAUCAAAUUCCGUAGGAUGGCAAAUCUUGGAAUCAACCACGGUGCCUAAAUUCAGAUGAAAAGAUAGUAUCUGGUCAGAUCCAAAUAACCAAAUUAGACAUGCUAAGCCCAAAAAGAUGGAGAGCACCAAGAACUAACCAGGCAGUAUGUUUCCACUUCUAUCAACUGUACGCUGGUCAUUGUGGUUAUUAGCAAACAGCCUAGUGUGAUGUCGCUUCUGGACCACGACAAAAGUAACUGGAGGCUGGUAAUUGGGCUCCAGGGAUGCACAGGCCUAUUUCCAUGGUACCGAGAGGAUAGUCAAGAAAAGAAGAAAAACAACAUCAAACGAAUGGUAUGUAAUUACAUGUACCUUUCUGAUGGCAUCAAGUUCAUACAACAAUACUUGAUAGAACUGUCCCUCACUGACACCAUCCCUGAAAUCCAGAACUGCUUAGUAUAUUGAGAAACAGAUCAGUAAAGUUGACCAAUCAAGGAUAAUAACCUGUAGAAUAUGAUCCUUUGGGGCUUCUGUCCAGUUGCCCUCUUGAAAGAAAUGAGAAGUUCCCUGCAAUAAAAAGAAUUUAAGCAUAAAGCAGAAUCCAAAGAUGGAGAACUGUGAAUAAAUCGCAUCAUCUCAAUUGGGAUCAUACUUUAUCAUGCCACCAGUUACUGUCCUUCUCUGUGGGUCUUGCCAUACUUUGAAAAGAUCCUGUAUCAGCUCCUGGCGAUGAGCUUGGGCACUCACUAGUCCAGCAUAUUUGGUGACCUCAGGCCAGUCUUGUGAAGCAACAACCUAGGAAGGAACAAUAUUGUAAGAAUUAAAAAGUGAAAUCUGUCGUUUAGACUAUGUGAACUUCUGGCCUGUUAUAAUUGCAACAAGUACUGCACUUACAGCUGCAAUGGAAGGACUGGAAUCUUCUCCAGGAUGUGGAUGGGUAACAUCAGCACCAAAUAUUAUGGUCGGCCUGUCACUGACAAGGGGGAUUCUCCUUGUCAAAGCAUCUACAAGUACAGUAUUCCUUCCCCCAACCUGAAGAGGUAGGAAAACUGUGAGAAAACUAACGAUUCAUGAGUGACUUAAGGAUGGAAGUGUGGAGAGAUUUUACCUUAACAUUUAUUUUGAGUGCAACAUUUGCAAGAUACUGCUUGCUCAUCUUAAAAACAUGUUUAGUCAGACAACACUGGGAGACCAAUCCAAGAUCAGUCUCACAGAUCCUUUUGAGAUCCCCUGAGAAAUGAAAAGAAUGAUGAUGACCAAAUGUAUUCAGCAGACAAUGUUCAAGUGUGUUUUGGAAGAGAACAUUACCAUAAAGAGAACCAUUAUUGUCAGGCAGUAUUACAAUCAGCAGAUCGAGUUCCCUGCCCUGUGGCCUCAAUACGUUCAUUGCAUCUUGAUAACGGGCCUUUAACGCCCUUUCAACAUGUUCAGGUCUUGCAGUCACUGGAGCGAGCACAGGCUCAAGAGCAAAAUCCUAAAGGGAAAGAAAACACGUAGAGUAAAUAACAAAAAUAGCCAAAGGAUAUUGCAGACAAAUGAUAAUUGAAGGGAAAAGACUUACCAUUCCUGAUAUUUGGCACAUGACUGCAAGCUCGUGACAGAAACCCCUAGCAGCACUAUCUUGCACAUUCCGAGAGAAGUUAAUACAUGCCCAGUUGCUGACUCUGCCACCAUUAACCAUUUUCUUCCAAGAAAAAGAAGGCAGCCAAAGAACAAUAGACAUGAAAGUUAUGACUCAUGAGAUUGUUAAAUUAAUCAACAAAAAGGGAGCAUGCAGACAGAAGGCAAGCUAAACUUAGAAAACAGUGCAUUUAGAUUCAGGGGUGACACCACAUUCAUCUAUUGUGGUGCACUGGCACCAUUGAUUGAAAAAAUGUGCAGUAUUAGGUGACCUGUUUAGACCUUGCUAAUGAGCUCGAAAUGGCAAUGUUACUACAAGGUGUGCACCACCAUAAAUUCUGUUCUAGCUUCACCCUUGUCUAGAUUACAGCAAUGUCAAAUCAUAAUCCAAAUGUAUUUCAUAAAAGAUGGUUCUUGAUAGAACUUUUUUUGUGGACUUAUUGGUAGAUCUUUCUGAGUACAUAAUGCAAAAUCAAUCCCUCCAAAAAAAAUUCCAUGGCAAGCUUGGUAGAUCCUAGAAUUUUGAGGUAAGGAGAUAGCAAAAAGGGAUGCCUAACAAAAAAAAGAAGAAAUUAAGUACCACGUAACAAUAAACUCAGUAAUAGUUAGGGUUAUGUAACUUGGACAAACAAACUUAUAUGCUGAGGCAGCUAAUCUCCCAGUUGCUAGGUUAACUUAUUUUUCUUUUUCUUUUUUUUUUGCAAAAUAUAGUACUUAUUUAAUUUGGAUGGUCCUCACCUAAUAUUACCAUAUAAGAAAAUUAAUUGCGUUCGAAAAAAUCACAGGAAGAGCGACUUUAUCUAGAUUUCUCAGGACACAGGCAUACCUUAUUCAUCAUGUUCCAUUGGCCAACUCUGGGCAAAACAUCCUUCUCUCGGCCACUAUCAUGGUAUUUAAGCUAAUUACAAAAUGCACAAAUUCUACGUCAGCAGCCAUGCAGCAUAUGCGCAAAUACGGAAAAAAAAUGCCAAGAUGUUGUUAGAGGUCAUGUUUGUUCGCUUACCCUUGGUGGUGGCAGAACACGAGCUUCAACUGCUGCAAGACGUUCAUCAAUUCUUAUGCCAAAUUCCUGUGCAUAUGGGUCUUCAUAGUAUGCAUUGUGAUGCACAGUCUGAUAAAAGGCAAAAUAAGGAACUGAGUCAGAAUCAUAAAUUCAGCUGACUGACUUUGGUAAAUACAAAACAAAUAAAACCUCUGUACCAUAUUAUGUUUAAACAUUACACAGUAUUCUGAAAAAAACAGAUGGCGCUAUUUAUCAGCUGUUGAAUAAUUUGCUGCUGGUCUUGCACAGGAGUCAAGACUGUAGCUUGGUGACUAGAAAUCUGAAAUUGCAGAGCAACUUUGAAAGACAGUUCAAGCUGUAGUGGGAACACUUGACUAGGAGUAGUGAGGACACAGAUUUUUGGUAGGCCAUUGUGUCCUUAGCCUAGGAUAGUAGACUUUGACUGCAGUACACCAGCGCACCUUCACUAGUUUCAGUUCAUACACAAACUGAACCUACAGCUUUGUGUAUAUAAGUGCAGCCCUAGUAAUGUAUUUUUCAGUUCAGUUGAACCUUGGCCAACGCUAGAGUUUCUGCAGUGUAUGUGUGUGUGUGCUGUUCUCACCCCUUCUUCUACCUCUAGCCAUAGUGAGAGUGUGUGUGUGUGCGUGCGCGCGCAGGCGUGCACGUGCUGGUAAGCUUGCUGCUUUACCUGUGCAGGAAUCCUAGGCACCAACAAGUGGUAUCGGAGCCGUACAACUGCAUCGCCGGACUAACCGCCGGCGAUGGCACCUAGCUCGGAGACGGCUGACAGCAGCAGUGCUGCUGGGGCUGCCCAGACACGACAGAAGGUCGUUGUGCGCACCGUGCGGGAGGUCAGCGGCACAAGUUGGUCGAUGCUGACUCACACCAACUAUGGCGAGUGGGCGGUGACCAUGAAGGUAAAGCUCAGAGCCCGACGGCUCUAGAAUGCCAUCGACAAAGGCACCGACAAUGAAGAAGACGACAUGUCAGCGAUGGAGGCUAUCCUCGCUGCUGUGCUGACAGAGUACAGCGUUGGGGGCGAAGAAGACUGCUAAGGAGGCGUGGGAGGCCAUUGCUGCGAUGUGCGUCAGCUCUGAUCACGCAAAGAAGGCGACGUUCCAGCUGCUGAAGUAGGAGUCUGAAGUACAUCCGAAUUGCUCUCUCCAUAGAGACAAUGUUGGACCUGUCCACCCUCACUAUUGAGGAUGUGACCGGCUGUCUGCGGGCGGUGGACGAGCGCAUGGAACUGGUCACAGCAACGACGGACAGCGGCAAGCUGCUGUUUACAAAGGAGGAGUGGGCUGCCCGGAUGAAGGAGAAGAAGUCCGGGGAAGCCUCCAGCUGCGGUGGCGAUGGCAAGCAUGGCAAGGCUUCUUCAGAGAAGAAGAAGAUUGACCCCAACGCCUAUAGGCGCUGCGGGAAGACAGGCCAUUGGGCAAAGGAGUUCCCAAAUCGCAAGCAGGAGAAGGCGGAAGCUCACCCGCCAGCCCUAAUGGUGGACAAUCAGCCCGCCAUCGCCCUUGCAAAGAAUCCAGUCCUCCACGACCGCAGCAAGCACAUCGACACUCGUUUUCACUUCGUCCGUGAUUGUGUUGAAACCGUACGACAGCUCGCAGACAUCCUCACAAGCCACUCGGCCAUCUUCGGUUCAUGGAGCGGAGGACCAAGAUUGGAAUGGUGGAAAUCAGGCAAGAGCAGCAAGUUUAGGGGAAGAAUUGUUGAAUAAUUUGCAAGAGCAGCAAGAUUAGGGCAAGAUUAGGAGUCAAGACUGUAGCUUUGUGACUAGAAAUCAGAAACUGCAGAUCAACUUGACUAGGAGUAGUGAGGACACAGAUUUUUGGUAGGCCAUUGUGUCCUUAGCUAAUAAGUAUUGCAGGCUUAUCCUGCAUCUAGGAUAGUAGACUUUGACUGCAGUACAACAGCCCACCUUCACUAGUUUCAGUUCAUACACAAACUGAACCUAAACCUUUGUGUAUAUAAGUGCAGCCCUAGUAAUGUAUUUUUCAGUUCAGUUGCCACAACCACAAGGGCAGAACCUUGGCCAACGCUAGAGUUUUUGCAGUGUAUGUGUGUGUGCUGUUCUCACCCCUUCUUCUACCUCUAGGCAUAGUGAGUGAGUAGGGACCAACAUCAGCACAGUACAAUUUACACAAACAUUUUAAUAAUCAAACAACUGUUGCAGAUACCCUGUUACCAAUCCCAGAGAGCCAGAGAUCAUUUUAGAUGCACAGGCAAAUAUAUAAUCAUGUUAAUUGUUAACAAAAGACAAGAGGGCACCCUAAACCCUGAAGAAUGCACAGGCAAAUGUGUAAACAGGGCUUCCAAAGCUAAAAGGCUUGAAAACUGCUAACCACAGGCUAUAAACUAAACAUGGUUAAACAUUUGAAUUCAUAAGAUGUAUACACUGAUGAAAUAACUUAUACAAAAACAUACGAUAAACAGCCACCUGUAAGAUGUCCAGCUCACGCUCUUGAGGGCGCUGGCAGGUCACUUUCAGUAGAGCAGUGAUUUGCUUCUCAUUGAGUCGCUUUGAGUAGCGCUGUCCUUCAACUAUUUUGCAAACCUGAAAUUUCACAUUUCAAAGCCAUAAGCAUAAUACUGAAGCUGGAUGUAGCAUUCAGAGACCAUUCAAAUAGAUAAGCACAAUAUAAGAAAUCCAAGUUCAGCGGAUACAGUCGAAGACACAAACCUCCAUUGGAAGAUAAUUUGGUCUUUGUUGAUUGCCCACUUGCAAGCACGGUAAAGUGGUGUGCUGGAUACUAAAACCAUAAGUCUCCAUGAAGUAUUGCACCACAGUCUUCACAGUACCGCGAUCAUCAACAGGGAAUCUAUCCCAAAGAAACCAAAAAAUCAUGUCACUGCACUAUUCUUUAAGCUAUUAGCUCAUACCAGCAAUGGAAGACACAUACGAUAGCUCUCUUGUUGCUUGUGAGGUUAGGCCAGAAAUGCGAUAUUUUCUGCGCAUGUUUCCCCUGUGAGUGACCUCGACCUUCACACCUCUUAGGGCUUUUUUGAUCUACAGAGGAACAAACAACAGUAACUCAACACGAACUAGCAUAAACCAAAGUUGCUAUCAAAUAGGUAAGGUAAUGAUAAUGAUUCGAACCUUCACACGAUCAGAAUCAGACAAUGGUCUAACUGAGAUAUCUCUGUUAAGAAGCUGAGCAACAAAAUCGAUCACAGGGAGAGGCUCGAUAAAUGCGGUAGAGGACAUAUCUGCAAGAGCACAAAUCAAAGGCUAAGAAAAGACCAGUACUGAUUUCAUAAACUACACUGGGAGUCCAUAGAAUUAGAAUUUAGUUACAAUACGCCAUGGAUCAUGUGUGGCAACUGAAAGAUAAACAAUGAAACAAAAAGGUUAAAGUGACAGUAUCUAACCAAUAUUCAGUGAAAGGCCCAUCUGUGUCGGCCUUAUGCUUUGGUAAAAGCCACGCCAACUUUCCAGACCCUCACCAAGUUGCUGGCGUCUCCCUAAGUUGGGAGAAUAAAAUGACCUACCAACAGGAGAAUACCUGAACAAGAAAAAUGUAAGGCAAUGAAGACUCUGACUUUUGUGGCAUGGAAAAAGCAACUAAUAAAUAUACAAUCACCUCGCAGUAGGCAAUUCACGUAGUACAAUGUCAAGCACUUGAAGAGCUUCUUGAGGAGCAUCCGCUUGCCUUCCAGCUAGAAACAUAGCCAGAUGGUGGAGAUCAGCACGGGCCGCAAAUUUGAUCACCACCCUAAAUACUCUCUCGCGCCUUGAACAGGAAGGAUUACAGCAGUCAGCAUGAAAUGUUGCAUAUAUGUUCUAAAUACAGACACAGCAUAAUGACAUACCUUUGUCCACCUUGGCCACCACCAAGACUAUCUUCCUCAUCUUGCAACGUAAUUUCAAAUGUCAUAGAAGUAAAUGGCAAUGGUCCAGCGGUAUAAAGGCUCUUUCUUCCAUCAUACGCAGGUAGACGCCCACCCAAAUGGGAAAUUCUAUAUAGUCUUACAAGCUCUCCCAUGACAGCACGAUUAACACCACGUGAAGUAACCUCAGGUGUUAUAGAUACCUGAUGGCAAACGAUUGGUGAACAGAAAUAACAACAUAAGAAAAAACUGACAUGAAAUUAUUCCCUACGAGGAGCUUACAUCAUAUUGGUGAAGGUCUUUGUCAGGAAGCUCAGCAAAGAAAUGAUUUGCCUUCACAAUGCACCUGUCCCCAUAAGUGCCCUUGCCAGGGCGCAAUGGGAAUCGAACCGAUUUGCUUGAUGCUGGUGCCACUUGAAUUUCUUGGCUCGUGGAAGACUGACCACGAAUGGCAAGUUGCUGAAACUGUUGCUGGACUUGUCCAGAGCUCACCUCUGCCACAGGCUGUGAGGAUGAGCCAGGUCCCGAUGGGGAUUGUGAAACCACCGGGGCUUGAUACUGGACAUAAGGGGCUUGGUGCAGCUCGGGAACUGUUCUAGAAGGACCUGGAGGAACAUUUCGUCCAACAUUACCUCCCCUAUGCCCACCAUAGUAUGGCUGUGGCAUUCCACCUCUGGAGCGGGCGCCACCACGUCCCUGGUACUCACCACCUCGUCCCUGAUAUUCACCGCCACGUCCCUGGUAUUCACGCGGGUGAUACUCAGGGGGCCCACCACCAGGGUGAUGUGACCCAGGUCCUCCGCGGCCCUGAUAAUGUCCACCACGACCCUGGUGUUGCCCGCCACCACGACCACCCUGUUGAGGCACCCAGCCACGUCCUCCCCCAGGUUGUUGAGUUCGCUCAGGCCGCUGUGAAGAACCUUGUCCAGAACCUCCUGAAGACUCUCCAGAAGUUUCUCCAGAGCCACCAGGGCCAGUUCUCUUCUUCCUCACCAUGAUGGGCACUGGCAUGAUAGGAAUACAUCAAGAGUGAGAUUGUAAAAAUACCAUGGAAAAAAUAGCCCGCUAUUUUUGCCGCUAUAGCCCGAAAUAGCUUGAAAAAAAUUAUGUCGCUAUUUGUAUUCAUGUACAAUUUUGCCACUAUUUUACCGCUAAAGUACGCUAAUUACGGUAUAUAAAACGCUAAACACCUUGGCCUUAGCUCGCUAUUUAAAACAUGGUAAAAAUAUAAUAAUUUAUCAAAACUUAACAUGAAGAAAACUGUUUAACUGCGUAUUUGUUAAAAAAUAGAGACAGAAGGUUGUAUAAUGAGAACUGAAACAGCUUAGAGAGUAAAGAAACUGUAAAUGAACUCAAAUAGAAGAUCAGCUUCAUCAAGGAAUUGCUAAAAUAAUAAAUAGAAAAUUUCUGAAUUACAGCUUGACAGCAUGAUGGAAACUAUUCCCGUGAGAAAAUAGACCAAGUACCAGAAGGCAGUGAACAAGAAAAACCAUGUAGGCAUAGAAGAAAGGGAAUGCCAUCUCACAAGUAUUAGGAAACAAGACUUAUUAUGUUUUUAUUGAAUUUAACAUUCCUUCAUUUUGAUUAUUAUUUCACCGCUUGUGGUUGGCUGCAAACUUCUAUUUAAACCAAAAGAGGCCAAGUAGAAGGUGAGGAAAAUGUGAGAAAGAACAUAUCAAAAAAGAAGCGCUCCAUCCAUACUCCAUAGGUGUCCUCUAGAUAUCAACUAUUUUAUUCGUUUAAUAACAAUAUCCUAAAAUAAAUAUACAGACAACAAGUAAACAAAAUCAACCAGUCACCCUUUCUAUAAUAGUAAAAAAGAAUUAUCCUAGCAUUUUCAUUCAAAAGGAUGCCAGAAGAAAUGUAUGAAUGAGAAACAUGUAGCACUGAAGUUGCUAAAAGAUACCCAUUUCAUCUAUACAAACAAAAUGAUCAGUAUCCUACUGCUAAAGGCCUGUCUUAUGUGGCCUUCUGAAAGCUUGUUUUAGCAGGGACCUUUUCUAGUCUCCACUGUUCAAUACAAUCCCAAUGCCUUGAGAUAACAUCAAACACUUCGGUAACCAUUGAAGGAACAUGAUUUUUUUUUCACAAUGCCGUGCUGCAUCCUUGAGUGUAGGAAACUCUAUGCUAGAACUUGUAAUCAAGUCCGAGAGCAAACGAUAAGUGAGAACAACAAACAUUAGGCAUAAAAAUAUGCCUAGAACACAUCCGCAAUCAUAGCCAAGGCUGCGGUUAGAAUCAUCACAAUGUGAUGCACUAAAAAGAACCCUCGUUUGUUAGCCAGAUACAAAGACAACAACAAAAAAAUAUAUCACCCUAAACCCAAUAACCAGAGAUGGAUACCAAGGCACAGGAGUGAAAAUACACAUAAACGGAGUGAACCUUACCCUAACGUAGAGGCAAAUAACCAUACAAGCAUGUAGCCAGUAGGGGAGGUACUGCUAUAUCAGUAAUUUCUAGAUAUAUGCUGAGGUUUUAACGAAGUAAUCAGUUCACCCGCAUAUGAGCACUGGACACCUGAAAGAACAGAUGUUCCUUUAUCUCAGAAAGCAAUUACCCCCCCCCCCCCCCCCCGGUUUCCACACUAAGCGCUUAGCUUAGAUGGACAAGCUAAAAUGAUCACAAAAACAGCCGCAAAUCGUCAAGCUCUCGUUGGAUCAGCUCACAACCAGGUAGAACCGGACAAAUAACCCGACAGACCCCACAAAAUCCACGAGCGCCCCCUCGAGCUCGUUCAUUUCAAGCACCAACACCGCCGCAACAAAGCAACCCAACCCCGGAAACGAUCGAACGCUGAAGCUACACCCCGCGCACUGAGGAAGCAGGCGAAAAGCAGCAGAUCUAGCGGAUUACGGGAGGGAGCGAUACCUGAGCAGGCUCGGCAGACGGCUGCUGCGCGGGAUGGCAACGGAGCGGGAGUGCUAAGCUCCCGCCUCCACUAAUGGCGCUCUCUACUGCCUCAGCGAAGCUGCUGUGCUGGGUGCUCCACUACUUGCCCACGACCACCACCACCACCACCACCUCCACCUCUCCGCCUUUUUUUGAGGAGGGGGAGGGGGAAGGCGACGGCCGCUUGUGGUUAAUUAGCGGCAGCGGCAGUGCGGGUGCGGCUCACUGGAGAAAGCGCCGAAGCGAGGGCAGCGGCUGCGGCAGCCGGCAGGGCUGGGUGCCCGUGUCAGGGUCACGGUCAGGUCGCGGGGCGGGUCGCGUCGCCGUGGACACGGGGACCCGUUCGGAGUGGGAUUAGUACUAGUACUGGAGAACGUGGGACGGACGCCACUGACGGCGUGGGGCCGAGGCGGCCAAGGACACCUCGGGCGCGACGCCACCGAUGGGAUUAGUGGGGCUAAUCAAGCGUUUUAGGCGCAAAAGACAGGAGAGGACGGGUGUCAGGAGUGGAUUAUCGUGCCCUCCUCGCCAUGUUAUCGCCCAGGGCCCAAAGACGUUUCGGUUGCUGAUUGGAUCGCCUCGCUCUCGUGUCCCGUCCGCAGAACUACGCGAUCAUACCGAAGCAUGAGACCGAGAGUGAAAUACUACGUAGUACCGGCCACCGAUGCACAGGCGUCAGAGCGUACGGCAUGAACCAAAGUAACAAACGAUCACGGAUCCAUCAAUGACCGUGAGUUGCCAACGGCGAACGCAGCUGUGCUUUGUAACGUGGGCACGGUGGUGGUUCGGCGGUGGCGGGUCGCUGUCAAUGCAGUCCCGUUUCGGCUAAGCCGUCCAGACCCGUAAGAGGCAAGAGGACGAGUCAAACGGGCGGGCGCCUCUCGAUGCUCGCAACAGCCAUGAGGUCAUCCGCAAUGGUUAUGCUAAGAGGAAUUCUAUUGGCUCUCAAUAGCACUUUACGAAUAGCUAGCGAGAUGAUAUAUAAAAAUAAUAAAAAAGUAGUACUCUUAUUGGCUAUCGAGAAGAGAGAUCAAAUAGCUAACGACUUCCUAAUAGCUAGCGACACAUAAAUAGCUAAUCUAGCAUAAUCUUCUAGAAAUAACUCUCUCACAAUACUCUCCACAAUAGUUAGUGACUUCCUAAUAGCUAGCGACUUCUUAAGCUAGCUAUUUCCAAAUUGCCAUUGAGAACCAAUAAUAUUCUUUCUAGAGACUAAAUAGCUAGUGAUUUGAACACCAUUGCAGACGUCCUUAGCCUGCAGUAGUAGUAGCAUUUGCUAUUGCUAUUGCUAUCGCACCCAACGUGCAACGAGCACAGCUGCACAGGCCUACUGCUGCUACUACGGCCACCCUACCGGAUCAAUGGCUGAGAUCGGUUCCGCAUACGGGGCGCACGAGCCAGUGCGUGGGCCACCGCUAGACUGUUCAAAAUCGCUGGCCCACCGGCUACCGUCCGGCCCCCAGGCGAUGACACGACGACCCCACUGGCCGCGCGGGCCCAGCGCGCAGCGAGUCGGGUGCCAGUACAGCGCGUCGCGCAAGUUGCCCGCUGGAUCGAGUAGGAGGAGUACUUGGAUAGGACGCAGUGGGCCCCGGCCGCGAUGGCGGGUCGUACUGGACGCGCGACCAGCCGUUGCUCUGCUGGGCCCGCGACCCGAUGACGGGGACGGUCAUGGAGCCCGCGGUACGGGCAAGGGGCCCUUUCGCUUUCGCGUCCAGGCUGCCCAGUGGGCUGCCUCGGGCCUCACGACCAGAAUGACACAACCGGCCGCGGGCCUUCUCCAAAGCCUGCACGGGACGGCGAGACGGAGACACAGGCACACAGACACAGCACAGCAGCGGCGCUCUAGCCUCUACUUCUACUCCUACUAGGCCUUGUUUAGUUCCCAAAAAAUUUUGCAAAAUUUUUCAGAUUUUCCGUCACAUCGAAUCUUUAGAUACAUGCAUGGAAUAUUAAAUAUAGACGAAAAUAAAAACUAAUUGCAUAGUUUGGUCGGAAUUGAUGAGAUGAAUCUUUUGAACCUAGUUAGUACAUAAUUGAACAAUAUUUAUCACAAACAAACGAAAGUGCUACAGUACCUGUUUUGUAAAAAAAUUUGGAACUAAACAAGGCCUAGGUGGCGCUCGCAGACGCAGGGUUGCAGGAAUCGACGAGCCGUAUAGUGGCGCCAGUGUUGCUAUCUAGGUACUGCGUAGGAUACAGCGAGUAUCACGUCGAUCGUACUAGGGCACAGUCCCUGGUUUUGUUGGAAGGGGACGAGACAGUUCUUCCUCGUCUCCGUGCUUCAGAGUUCACAUCAAGGGGGGAAGCGGGGCGCACAGUGAAAAGAUUUGCUGGGAUGCAAAAAAAGUAGUGUGGAUCGGUCCUAUAACUGUUAACGUGACUGCGUUUCGAUGUCACCACGAUGUUUGUUGCAAAGCGAUGAAUUCGGUGUUGACGAUGUGUCUAAGAACGACGAACAUCACUACUAGCUGUCACUGACUCACUGCAUUAGCACGUUGCCUUUGCCAUUCACGAGCAAAUAUUGGCAAGUCAUGAAAUAAGACAGUUUGGGUGUCUCUCGAAGCCACUGUUUCUAAAUAAUGAUGACUCCUCUCAUCUUUCACGGAAAGGAGAGGCUAGCCAAUGGAAACAAAGAAAAUGAAGCUUUUUGUCGGGACUUUUAAAUCUAAUAUGUCAAUGUUUUCUCACCUUUUAUACGAGAAAGAAAGGUUACGCGGUGAGAAAAGAAAAUGAAGCUUUAUUCAAAAGAAACAAGCAAGCAUCUUUCCUGCUGCCAUUGUCACAUAUAGCCUUUUCAGAGACUAGCCUCGCUGAUUUUCGUCACGACUUUAGAAUAUUUUAUUAAAGAGUUUUUUUUCAUUUUUAUUGAAUCUUUUGCCUCGUAAACUUCUAUAGUUUUCCUUGAUAAAGUAGGAAGUGCAUGCGCAACACUGGUAGGAGAAAAAAAAAUCAAACAAGGGUGCUGCUACAAUCGUGUGAAAUUGUGUUCAAUGAUAGUGAACGCCCACCCAUAUGCCACUAUGCCAGUGUGUCUCGGUGGAGUUGACGAUUCGAAAAUCGAAUCAAAUUGUCCCAUAUAUCUACAAGGUGAAAUAUUGUUUACUAAAUGGACACCAAUAGCGGACUCAAUGCUCGAAUGGACCCCGAGUAAUAAGGAUCAAGACGCCAAUGACAUUUUGUGUCUUUAACCUUCCAACAAGACGUAAAAGCAAUAAAUUUUUCAAAGUGCAUCGGCGCCAAAGCCCGGAUGAACGCCUAAGUUACCAGGCCCUAAGUCCACCACUGGUGGACAUCGAGGUUCAGUGGAGUUAGAGAAUUUUACGUGGAAAGUGUCCCUUAUGGUUCAAAAAUUAUAUGAAAUUUCCCCUUGUUUGGCGGAAGCAGCAAAGGCGUAUGCUUCAUCACCAAUUCAGGCCGGUCUUUGAUUGUCUUCUGUUGUUGCUUUGUUGGUGUGUCUCGAAGUAGAGGAACAAGCGCACUUUCGAUAACAAGGCUUCUUCGAUCGCCAUGGUGGUUAGGGAUGCUGCACUAGAGGAUGGGUUCAGGCAGGGUUCUCCUGCGUCUCGGCGUUUGCUACACUUUGGUCGCAAAAUCUGGCUGAUUUGUAAUAAACUCAAUUAUGUUCUAGUAGAUAGAUCUGUUACUUUGUUCUUGGCUCCUGCCAAUGGUCUCUCGCCACUGGCCAGGCCUCCCCUUGUACUUGUUCAAUUUUCCACUGCCUCUUAAUGAAACACAGACCGAUUGGUCUCGUUCGCGAAAAAAAAUUCCCUUGUGUAAUGGUCAAAAGGAAAUUAUAAUGAGGACGAUUAUGACUUCGUUUGGAUCUAUUCUAGCUAACUAUUAGCUCAGAAAAAGACCAUCUAACAACUUUUAGUUUGAUAAUGGAUAAGACACUAGCUAAUCUAUUAGAUAUAGAUUUAAAUGGGGUCUCAAAUACUUUUAGCAGCUAACUAUUACUAUUGGAUACAAACACCCUUUAGUUUUUUUUCAGCACCAAUCCAUCCCGAUCCAUAUGAGUUAAGAGGGAUUAAGGUAAAAUAAUCAAAUAAAUUUAACAUUGAUUUAAUUUGGAAUGGAUGAAUUGACAACAUUUUUAAGGAAGAAGAGAUGAAAUGGCCCCAAUACAAUGGCUUAUAUUACCGUGCACUUGCAAUAGUUGUUUCUCCUAUGGUGUGCUUGAUUCUUGGAUAUGGCUACUGGCUGAUACAGAAAUAAAAUUGUUGUAAUCACAACCUUGUAUUAUUUUUUAUCUCAUGCAUCAUAUCUUCACGAAUGCAACCAAACGACAUAUUUUAUUCGCCAAGCUAAUAAGAUACAAUCGACCAAAAAAGUAAACCAUUGCAUUUGUCGAGCCUGAUCCAAUGAAAACUAGCUCAACUGAUGCAAGCCAAACUAGAUCAUAUAAUCAGCUAACUAUAUAUCCUUACAGCCUGAUGGCGAACCAGUUGUAAGGCUGUCUCCAAUAGGAGACCUAUUUGGGAUCAGAAGAGACAUAACCCAAAUUUGGGUAUCCUCUCUCCUUGAGACCUAUUUGCAGAGAGUGUUGUCUUUUAGGUCUUGUUGUUGGAGAAGACUAAAAAUAGGUAUGUAACUUUUUACCUAUAGCGCUACCCAAAGGACAAAUGGGUAUUGUAUUUUGGGUAACGAUUGUUGGAGAUAGUCUAACUGUGUCACUCUCAACCAAACACAUUACUAUAAGCCGUAAGGGCCUGUAUGGUUACAGAGGGUAAAAUUUACCGCCCGUUGCACAUGUAUGAAAAACUAAAUAUAAACUAUUUACGAAACUAAAAACAUAGAUAAAAAGUAAUUUACAAGAUGAAUCUUUAAACAUAAUUAGUUCAUGAUUAAACAUUAAUUACUAAAUAAAAUAGAAAUGCUACAGCCAACCAAACACCCCCGGACGCAGUCACAACACUCGACUGGUAGAGUAUGUUGGACGUAUUUUUUUUUCUUCAAAAAAUGCGUAAUGCAAGCAGGAUAGAUCUUCAUCAGAUGCUACAAUGUCGUUUUCUUUUCUUCCUCCGUGUUGUUUUCAAUAUAAGGCCUUGUUUAGAUAUGAAAAUUUUUUGAAUUUCACUACUGUAGCACUUUCGUUUGUUUGCGAUAAAUAUUGUUCUAUCAAAGACUAACUAGGGUCAAAAGAUUCGUCUCGCGAUUUACAAUCAAACUGUAUGAUUAGUUUUUAUUUUCAUUUAUAUUUAAUGCUUCAUGCAUGUGGUAUAAAAUUCGAUGUGAUGGAAAAAUUUUGAAAACUUUUUGAUUUUGGAUGAACAAAACAAGGCCUAAAAAAAAUAAACAAGCCGUUUGCAAGAACUGAACUGUUGCUCCACUAGCGAUGAGGAUACCGUUCCGAGGCGAGAAAAGAUGUCCUUUGCUGACACGUCACACGACGGUGCAAAGCGGACCGGGCGCGCGACGUGACAGUUCGCUUGAGCCCAUGGCGAUGGUACGGCCUUGUUUAGUUCACCCGAAAUCCAAAAAGUUUUCAAGAUUCCCAAUCACAUCGAAUCUUGAGACACAUGUAUAAAGCAUUAAAUAUAGACAAAAAUAAAAACUAAUCGCACAGUUUGACUGUAAAUCACGAAAUAAAUCUUUUGAUCCUAAUUAGUAUAUGAUUGGACAAUAUUUACGGACGGCGGACCCGUGGACCCGCGGGCGGGACCCAGGGCAGUCGUCGCCGACGUGUCAGCCGGCACGGCGCAUGGGCCCCACCUCUAUCGCGUGUCAGGCCUCUCCGAGCUCGAAACGUGUCCCACAGGGGCAGGUGACCCCACCUGCACGACGGCGUACUACGGGCGCACGCACCUCUGGUGGUGGACUUGCUGUACUGCUGUGGGUGUACAGUGUAUAGUACGUACUACUGCUGUACGUACUGCACCCCCGGCCCAUAAUGCCGUGGGCCCGCCGCGUCAUCCGCGCGUGGUUUUGGUUGCUACUGUGCGGCACUGCCGCAUCGCUGGCACAGCGUGACGCACCACGCACGGAGCCGAACCGAGCCGAAUCCCCCCACCCGCGAUGCCACGCACGGCCUUGCCGCGGUUGCCGCCAUGGAUGAUGGGCCCGCCCGCCGCGGUGGCGGCCCGAAGGCCGAAAGAUCCACCAGGGUAUCCAACGGCUCUUGCAUAGCGCUAAUGGGCACGUUACUGUUCCGUGCGACGCAAGUGCCAAAUUGGCAAAUGGCUGUCUAUUUUUUUCUAUUGUCGGCAGGCUCUUGGAGGUGUCGUUCUGGUUUGGUUACUGUUUCGGCUUGUGCGUUUGUGAGUUUGUGUGCGUUUUGGAUGUUGCUGUUGUGCCUGUUGUCCUUUUGCGAAAAUAAAAAUCUACUUAUAAACUGAUGUAGUCGUUUUGUGAAUUAAAAUGCUGUAGAGACUGGCUGAGAAACCAAGACUCGUUCCAUGAAUCACCCUCGACGAUGAUGUGCUAACACAAAAAAAAAUCCAAUAGAUUAAUACUAGUUAUCAGCUAAAAAUAGUAGGCGAGGAUCAAACAGGCUACAGGCCUGCUUAUAGAUUUAUUAAAUCCGCUAAGCAAAUGGAGGUGAGGAGGUUCUGGUGGUUCAUGUAGAUCUUCAACUAAUCCAACAAUCUAUUAAACGUCCACAUGGAUUAGUAGAAUGAAUCAAGGUUUUCCUGAGACGAGAUGGGUAUGCAUAUGCAGAUAUGUUUCAUGCGGUUACGGGGCGCGGACCAGUCAGUAUGGAGCCGGGGGCAUCAUGCAUGCAUGGAGAGCGCCGACCGUGAACAGCUGUGGCAUGCAUGGGCGUCCAGGCAGCCCAGCAGUGUGAAAAAAAAAAAGACGAUCCAUCAAUGUCUUGUACAUGUGCUGUGCUAACAAUGGCAUUCGUUCCUCCGAGGUAGCUGGUGCCGAGCUCUCACAUUCAGCUCGGCUGGCUCCACAGCUGUUUACAUGCUGCUGCUCUGGCUUGUUUCUCUCGGUCAAGCUACGCUAGGCAGGUGGCUGAACAUGUCACUGCAUUAGAAUCACCGCAACGGCGCAACCCACACGUUGUAUAUCCCUUCUCAUCACUAACCGCAGGCUUUAUUAGCUUAGUUCACUGAUGAGUGAUGACGGACGACGACGACGACGACGCGACCCAAAGAACGAACGAUCCGGUCGACGAACUGUUCCUCGAGGGCCCGAGCGCAUGCAGUCGCUGUAGUCUGUAGGCAGGCAACAGUGUAAUGUGAAGCCCAGUCGGCCGGCACGGCAUGGCAUGGGCGUGCGCGACCAUGCCAACAGGAACAGCGGCCUCGACAGGUCGCCGAGACGACAACAGCAAAGGGACCGACGUGAUGCACGCACGAGCGCGAUUCCUCCAUGCCGGAUGCCGGUUGCCGGAAGCCCGCGGUCAAAAGGAGGCCCCGCCCGUGCCGACCCGGCGCUCUCUGCUAGCGCGUAGCGGCGCACAAUCAUGCACGCGAACUGUGCGGUGAUCUGACGGGACGACGACACGGCCGGCCGGGGCAUGCAGAUGCACAAGCACAGCAGAAGCAGCAGCAGCAGCAGAAGCGAGGAAAAGGCAAAAAACCGGAAGCGGGCAGGGCAAAAGGGGACGGUCGCCGAAGCGAGACGAGGAAGGAGGGCACGGACACGGGCGUACCUUGAUGGGGGCGCCCGUUGUUCUCCACCCGCAUCGCCAUGUCAAGGUCACACAUCGUCCUCGUCCACGACGCCGCGCGCCAAAGCUGGAACUGAAAGCAGGAGGCCGGGCACGAGCCGGCAGCCGGAUCGCGGCCACUUCUGUGUCCGUCCCCUCGUCUGUCUGCCGACCGAUCGAGAGGUGGAAGAAGAGCUAGGUCCUCGUCUGACUGCUGCUGCCUGGGGCUGGGGGCGUGGAUCACGAGCCAAGAGAUGCCGGGCGCCGGGGUCUUAUUGUUAUUGGUGGCUGGCAGGCUGGGCGAAGCUAGCGAUGGCUGGCUGGCGCUGCUAGGGGGAGGGGGAGGAGGAGGAGGUCCGUGGUGGGUGGGGCUCCCUCGGGCUCGUCUGCACUACUGCAUCCCUGGCCUCGUCGUCGUAAGCAAAAGAUAUCGGUGAUGUAAGCUUCAAGAUAUGCCCAAUUAUUGCCGCUGGCGCACGGAGAAAAAAUAUUGCGCCGGUGCAGGUGGUAUGCGACUUCCAUUUUUGCGAGUUGCGGCUACUGCUCGCUCGUUGGUAAUGGACUAAUGGUGUGGAUGAGCCAUUAGCCAUUAGCUGAUCGAUGUGCGAGCUUUAGCUUCCGUUAGGUUUAGGUGGAGGGCCCCCCGCGUUCCCUGCAGCAAAUGCGGCUGCCACUAUAUACAUCGAUCAUAUUCGCCAUUAAAAAUACCACAACAUGGUUGGUCAAGAGGAAUCCUUUGCUAAAUAAGGUGGUCCGCUGAUCCUAGUUACCAACUAUGGUGCGUCGAAAUGACCCAACAUAUGGUACACAUUUGUUUAGCAAGAUUUGCGCUUUGUAGUGUAGUCCCCCAGGCUCUCAGAUAGCGAAAUAAACAAGACAGCACUAACAAAAGUUUAUAUAAUUUCCGUCUAGUCACCUGAUCAGAUCAUUGGUUGGCCAAGUUGAGAUCUAGUCAGACAUUUGAGUAAUCCGACGCGCAUCGGCAGUAGUUAUCUGAAGUGAUGUGUAUGCAGUCGUUGGGCUAAGGCCUUGUUUAGUUCACCCCAAAAAGCAAAAAGUUUUCAAGAUUCCCCGUCACAUCGAAUCUUGUGGCACAUGCAUGAAGCAUUAAAUAUAGACGAAAUCAAAAACUAAUUACACAGUUUAGCUGGAAAUCGCGAGACGAAUCUUUUGAUUCUAGUUAGUCCAUAAUUGGAUAAUAUUUGUCACAAACAAACGAAAGUGCUACAGUACCGAAAUCCAAAAUCUUUUCGGAACUAAACAAGGCCUAAAAUAAAUUUGUGCCGCACGAAGAGUUGCAGCUGAUGACCUGUUGGAAAGGGACUGAUAUGGUUUCAUAUGGUCUGGAAGCUCAUCCGCUUUGUCGCCACACCAUCGAUUGCUCGGUAUUGCCUGGCAUUCCAAUGAAGAACAUUGUAUAUAUGGCUGGCCUGGUGGUUGAGUUCUUUUUUUCUUAUUGAAAGACAGCUUACUUGGCACCUCCUUAAAAGACAAGGUUGUGUGUGCAUCACCUCCUUAGCAAUUUCAGGAAGAUAUAUAGUUUUUAAAUAAAAGUCGUUGUUGCCUUUUUUUUGUGAAUCACAAUAUUUCCAGGUAUUUAUUUAUUGGCUCAUUUGUCCGAAUAGGAUAUGCGAGGGAAUAUACCCACCGUUGUGAAAACUUUGUUUUUGUAGUAAAAUGACAAUAUCUCGAGGGGUUUAGGUCUGAUUGUCCCCCACAAUAAAAGUUUGAGAAAAUACGAAAUAGUAGAAAGGGACACACACACAAAAAGAUACGAGGCCUCAAAAGCCCACGACGAGAACCUGAACUUCCGAAUGGGCUGCGAUCCAAGAACAGAUACGUGUCUAAGAAAUGGGCUCAUCUAACCAUAUCUACAGCCCAGUAGUUUUGCAAGCUCUGUACCUUCUGUUCUGCAUGUCCAUGACCAUGUCUACAGCAGCGUCCUUCGCAGGUUGCUGUUGUUCUUUUUUUUUUUCAGAAAUCAGAACACAAAACAAUAGGGAGUUGCCGACAAAGAUUGAGCCUAAGUAUCUGUUCAACAAGAUCUGACUGAGCGUUGCUGAGUUUGCUCAGAGUUUGCUGCUUGCCACAUGUCAACACAAUAACACCAGCGGUACUAGUAACAGGAAUUGGAGGGAAGAAGCUAAAGUAUAGCAGAAGACGGGAUAAUUUGGAGAGCGGUGGAAGGAUUUUUGGAAUUAUUGUAUACUUAUUUAUCUUUUCUUUUUUUUCUCGAAUACGCAAGAGGAUUGCGUAUCAUUAUAUUAGAAGGGAAAGGAAAUUCGAACAAUACAAAACGAGUUCACCUGCCGUAGCAGGAAAUGAAAUAAAAACACUGCAGACUGUAACCAUCCUCGGUGGAUAGCGAUGCUACCCCCCGAGCCAAGAACUCCUAAAUUUCUUGCGCCCGCGCUCAUCCAUUGUUCGGCGUCUGCUUUGAUCACAGCCAGUAGCUCGAGUACGGUGAGUGUGGUCCCCCGAAAGCAACGCGCGUUCCGCUGCUUCCAUAUAUGCCAAGAGACGAGGGCGAACAGCGAGUCUGCGCCCUUCCUCGCCGGUCCAUGCCACAGGGCCCGGAUGCGCCUCCACCACGCGAUGACUGUCUGCUGCGCCGGUGGCAAUUGUUUGUCCAGACCGGACAGGAUGAGGAACCAUACCUCUCUAGUGAAAGGGCAGUUCGUCAGUAUGUGAUCGAUGGACUCAUUCGCCUGGUCACACAGGAAACACUCAGACUAUGCUUGCAGCCCGUGUCUCGCCCGACGAUCAUUGGUCCAGUGUCGCUUCUUGAAGGCCAGCCAAAGAAAGAUCUUUACCCGUAGCGGCGCCCAGGAGUUCCAGAUUAGCUUGUGGCCCCGAAAAAUGGUUCCACCAGCUUGAAGUUUGCAGUAGGCUGAUUUUGCCGUGUACUCCCCAUCGACUGUCCAUCGCCAGAUGGUUGUGUCCGGGCUAUCGGUAAGGAUGAUGUUCUCAGUGGCCGCCCAAAGAUCUAGGUACUCGCCAGCCUCAACAAUAGAGAGCCCGCCACAGAUCGAUCUUAUCCAAGCCCGUCCCGAUAGUCCUUGGCGCACCGUCAAGGUAGAUUUGAUUCUUCUGGGCACCUUUGUGGAAAGGUUGGGUGCGAUGUCACUGAUACCUUCUCCUUGGAUCCAUCGAUCCUCCCAGAACAAGGAAGAGUUGCCGUCACCGAGGAGCGUGAACGUGGAGGCCUUGAAGAAAGCCAAUACCUCUGGGUCGGCUUUGAUAGGUAGCUCACUCCAUGCUCUGGUGUUAUCCGUCUUUUGUAGCCACAACCACCUGGUUUGAAGGGCGUAGCCGACCAACUUCAAGUUUGAAAUGCCGAGCCCACCUAGUUCCGUUGGCCGACAGCAAGUUUCCCAGGCCACCAUGCAUCGGCCGCGCACCGAGGCAUCUUUGCCAACCCAAAGAAACUUCCUGCAGAUCGCAUCGAUCUCUUUGCGCACCCACGGAGGUAAACUGUCAGCCAUCGUCGAGUAGAUGGGGAUCGCCCUUAGGACGGACUUGAUCCAGAUCAGGCGACCGCUCCUUGCCAUGAGAGAUCCGUGGCAGGGCGGGAGCUUCCUUGCAACCGCUUCGAUCAACGCCUGAUGUUCUGCCUUUGGCACCUUCUUGGUGGUCAGGGGCAAACCAAGGUACCGUAGUGGGAACUGCUGCACCUGGCAGCCUAGGAUGCGCACGAUGUCGUUCAAGACCUCUUCACCGCCAUAGAUCGGGGUUACUGAGCACUUGGACAGAUUGGUUUGGAGUCCAGUCGCAGCUCCAAAGAUGGAAAGAAUUUCCUUUACUGCAAGGGCUUCUUGUAUGGUUGGUCUGAUGAAGAUGAUUGCAUCAUCGGCGUAGAUACUGCACUGAAAUUUGAUCCCAAGCGGCUCAAUAGGUCUCAGCACGCCAUCUGCACUUGCCUUUGCCAUCAGCCGGUGAAGGAUGUCCAUGGCCAGUAUGAAUAGCAUAGGUGAAAGGGAAUCCCCUUGGCGCACGCCCCGUAGGUGCCUGAUCGCUGGUCCUGGUGUUCCGUUAAGCAUUAUCUGGGAGGAUGCGGUGGCGAACAGCCCCUCAAUCCACUGGCACCAUCUCGGUCCGAACCCCCGCGCCCGAAGCAGCUCGAACAAAAAGGGCCAAGAGAGCGUGUCAAAGGCUUUGGAGAUGUCGAUCUUGAGAAGCAGCAUCGGCGUCUUCUUUUUGCGCAGCAUGACCGCGGCCCGUUGAACAUAUUUGAAAUUGUCGUGUAUGGUCCGCGAUCUGAUGAAUGCGUUUUGGUUUUUCUCCACCAGCGCGUCUAGCUUCGGCGCCAACCUGACCGCGAGGAUUUUUGAGAUUAGCUUGGCGAAGCUGUGGAUCAUGGAGAUUGGCCGAAAAUCGGAUGGCGCUGUUGCUCCGACCCGCUUGGGAAGAAGGAUGAUGAGGGCGUUGUUCAAUUUGCUCAUGCCGCGCCGAUCUCCUGCAGUGAACGCACUGACGGCGGCCAUCACGUCCUCCUGGAUUAUAUUCCAGGCGCUCUUGUAGAACGCCCCUGUGAAACCGUCCGGUCCUGGUGCUCGGUCCGCGGGCAACUGCUUGAUUGCGUGCCAAACUUCUUCCGCGGUGAUGUCCAGUUCAAGGUCCUCUAGCGGUACUGGGUGAAUCCCAAGUGCCGUAAAGUUCAGCGUGGUUCUAGUUGAUGGCGCUGCACCGAAGACUGAGCUGAAGUGAUCGAACAGCGCGCGUUCCAUGUCAUCGUGGUCCGCAGCGACAUGUUCAUCGAUGGUAAGAGAUGGGAUGUAGUUCCGGCGUUUCCUGCCCCUGGCGAUGAGGUGAAAGUACGCAGUGUUCGCGUCUCCCUCAGAGAGGUGGCGGAUACGCGAACGCUGUCUGGCGAUCGUCCGAUCGAGUGAGGAGAGGCCGAGGCAUCUGAGUUUCAUCCUCUUGCGCAGCUCCUGCUCUGUUUCGCUCAGCUGUCGCACUUCCUGCGCCGAGUCGAGGCAGUAGACGAGCUCUCGUGCCAUGAGGAGUUGCUCCUUCACCCCUCCGAUCCUCUUCGCUGACCAGCUUUGCAGGGCGCGGGUUAGAAUCCGAAGUCGAUCAUCAAGCCGUGCGAGUGGUCCCUGGUGACUGUCCGAUCCAUUCCAGGCGUCGUUUACAACAUGCUGAAAUUCCUCGAACCGUGGCCAGAACACCUCGAAGUGAAACCUGGCCUUGGACAUGCCUCCCAUGUUGGUGCACAGCAACAAAGGACAGUGGUCUGAGGCGUCCGAACCAAGAGAUCGUAGGUGGGCGUUGGUGAAUAUCUCGUCCCACUGUGUCCAGACAAGUACCCGAUCGAGUCGUUCCAGCGUGGGGUUCUGGCGCUCGUUACUCCAGGUGAAGCUGCGGCCAUGCAGGUGGACAUCGUGUAGCUCUAAGGCUCCCACUGUGUUCCUUGUCUUCGAUCCCUUCUCUCUAAACUCGCCCAGCUAUUUAACAGCUAAGGCACCUCAGUUCAUGGGUCUUGCCCUGUCCAUGUAUACAUCACACUACUAAGCCAUUCGUUCUGCCAUUGGGAACCCAAGAACAUUUGUUGGGCCUCCUCUUCAGUCCUCGCCCCAUCCCGUGCAUCUAGACUUGCCUCCACAUGUUCAGGUUCAGGACUGCUGACAUUGCCUCUUCUUGAGAUGCAGCUUGAUCCCAAGCAUGUGCAAAAGAGAAUUGUUGUUGCACAACCGUCGAAUCUUCCUAAGUUGCUUGACUCUCAGACCACCCCGACCGCCACUCGAUCCAUACUUGAUGAAAUGGAGACAAGAUGUGUGCCCAACGUUUCUGUAGGACAUGUUUAGGAACGCGUAAGAGUUCAAACCUUAUGGCAUCUUAUUGCUGCCAAGCAAAACAAGCGCUAAGGCUCUUGUAGCAGGUAGCUAUGAUCGAUUUGGUUCGACACCGUUGGAUCCCUUUUGCUUUACAUAUACACCCUGUACUGCAAUUCUGCAGACGAUCGCUUCAUCUCAUCAACCAUUGCGUGUAGGAAGCAAUACGCAUUCAGCUAGCUGCUAUAUAUAGAAACCUCUCCUGUCAGCUGCUCUUCCUCUGGUCCGAGAGGUAACCGCACAGAUCAGGAAAACUAGAGGUAGUGUUCACCCACCAAUCCGUGAUUGUCACAUCUGGAUACACAGCUGCUAGCUUUUUCACUAGGACGAACAGACUGAAUGCCAAUAGUAGCACUUCAUGUGCAUGCCACCGAUAUAUAUAUGUACCGAUGCUCACAAAACGUUGCGUGAGCGUGUAAUUAGGAUUCGGUAGAUAGACAAUUAAGCAUGUCACAAUCUGGUGUGUAUUCGGUGAACUUUGCGUCAAACAGCACACUCAACCAGCAUGUCACGAUCGGCCCCGUUUCGUUACCAAUUUUCGUUCGGUUUAAAGCAAAUAUAUGCACCGUUCCUUCAAAUAUAUGCAGUACAUUCGGUGCGGUAUUGCCACAAAUUAUUCAACCCGAUCGAGCUACAUGCUACUGAUGUGCUCGAUCAACGCAAACGCCGCAUUGCGCGUGCACAAUAUAGCUAUAGCACACUAGUAAUACUGUAUGUUGUCACGGUACACAUGAGGCCUAGCAGCCCAAGCAAGAAGAGUACAAGACACAAGAAGCUGAACCCGAAGUUUGUUGGCCCAACUUGGAGCAAGUAAUUAACCUGAAGCUCAGUCCAGCUGCGUCUGGAGAGCGUGCUGUGCUUAACAGCUGUGUAAUGAAUUCAGUUUAAGAAGAAGGAGAGAGAGCAAACUAGGGGAAAGUAAAAUAUUUUUUUUUCGAAAGACGGCAUAAAGAUUUUGCCGUAUUUUUAUUAGUCGAGGAAAAAAAAUGCAACAUAAUUACAACUCCCACUUAAAAACUCUCAACCACUGGAGGGAAAGUAAAAUAUGCCCUUUGCUAGAAUAUUGUUACAUAUGUGUUGGUGUGUGUGUGGUACAAACUCUUCAUAUCUAUACUUGUAUGGCGCGGCCUGACCCGCGUGCGCGGCUGCAUGCACUUGUGCGCGGCUGCUUGGCGAAGACCGAAGAGCGUGUUGCUGAGCAGCUGGUUGGAGGUGACGAAGCCCACCAGGAGCGUGCCCUGGAUCACCGUGUCAGGAUCUCCGACGCGCAAGGGUGCGUGUGCGGCGGGUUCUGCCCGCCGGCCGGGGACGAAGUCGAUGCGCGCCAGCGAGAUGCCCAGCGUGUUCAGCCCCGGGAUCUGGCCAUCUGGGCCACCGCCACCGGCGUCACGGCGGAGCCCUGCGCGCGCGUUUGGUGCCAUCGGCACUAUGUGGAAGAAGAUGUCGCGGUUGCGUUCACCACGUUCGGGUUCUUUUGCACACCACUCCGUUCACCGGCACUGCAUGCAUAUGCAUGCACACGUCCACCCGUGUCAGUACUUUUGUCGUCAUCGCAAAUCAUCAUACACAAUUAAUCACCUUUGAGUAGUAUACAUUGCAUGCAUGCCUUCAAUACAUGCAUAAAUAUAGAUAACUGAGCUCUCUCUGUAGACUGUAUAGUGCUGCAAAAGUUCAUGCUUUGUGUUGCAUGCACAUAUAUGUACCUGCCUACAAAUGUACUGUGUUUAUUUACCAGGGCUAUUGUUAUCAGCAACGCAGAAGUCCUGGAGCUGGGUUGGAUCACAGUUACCAGACCACGGGGACUGAAGUAAAACCCACAACCGCUAGCACUGCAAGCAGUGUAGUAGGAGAAAGGCACAGGAAGCCACGGCGCUGUUUCUUUGCUAGUGAUCAAGUGUGCUCGAUCAAGCUGCUUGAUUAGUUUGUGGUCUGCAACACUUGCCAGUGCACCAAUUUAAAGGUAGUGUUCACCCAACAGUCUGUGAUUCUCGCAUCUAGAUCAACACAUGAAAACAGAGAAUCACUUGCGUAACGGCGAGCAGUCAAACCAAACAGGCAUGCAACCACUAGUCAGAUACUCAGAUCAUAUAUGUGCCCACACGAUGUAUAUAAUAUUUUAUACAAGUUUGAAUAUAUAUCUUGAGAUGCAAAAUCUAUACCUAUACCUAUUAAUCUAUAUCUAUAUCUAUCUAUAUAUAUAUAUAUAUAUAUAUAUAUAUACCUAAUACUAAAGAGGCAAAAUUUCAGCCUCAAAUUUGGUCAGGAAAUUUUUUCGUCUAAUCCAAGUCCCAGUCCGUCUCAUACUUUUGUACCAGAUUUCAGAUCGAGUCCAAAACAAAAUCACAUACAAAUCAGUACCAUAUACCAGAUUCCAGGUAGAGCCAAAACGAAACCACAAACAAAUCAUGUAUCAUAUAUCCGACGGCAAUAGCUCCGCGAGCCUAGAAAAUCUGCUGACUGGAGCUAGAACGCGCACCUAGAGCCGAAAAAAAUAGCUUCACCCGGCUCGUCUUUGGUUUGGUCCGCUUCGGUAUCGCACUGAUUCGGAGAUGGGAUGUGGCGGCACGGGGAGGAAGAGAAGUGAGGGCGCGCUGAUUUGGGGAGGAGAAGGGCGAGAUAUAUCCGACGGCAAUAGCUCCGCGAGCCUAGAAAAUCUGCUGACUGGAGCUAGAACGCGCACCUGGAGCGGAAAAAAACAGCUUCACCUGGCUCGUCUUUGGUUUGGUCCGGAAUAACAAAACAUCUGGUACAGAUACACCGGAAUACACCUGUAACAAAACAUCUCAUUCCAAAUGAAAAUCCAAAAUGAAAUUGAUAAAUAUAAGUAUGCUCGAGACGGAGCUGAUAGGAAGUUCAAAGCGAAAGGAUAGUUAAGGUUCGGAAAUAGAAAAAUAAAUUUGGUGACUCUUGGAACAUAUUGUUGGGAGUUGAGUACAAUAAUUUUUAUUUCGUACUUCCACUCCUGCUAACUCAAUUUUUUAAUUGAUGGUUAAAAUACAAACCAACACAUAAUAACAGUCGAUUUAGUUAGACGCUCGCUUUUACCUUGACAUGAAGCACAAAUAAAUAGUGACUCUUUUUGGGUUGUUAUAUGAUCCAAUAAAAUUCAUUCUUUAUAUAGUGUUUGUGCACAACUUAUUUCAUGUUUGAGUUCGCAUCGCCUAAUCUUACUUUUGCAAAUACUUAACAUGUUUAACAAGACAAUGAUAAUUAUUUUCAAAAAAAAAUAUUUAUAUUAUAGAACAAAAUAGAUGAAGACAAAGACAAAUUAUGUUAAAUAAUGUCUUCCUGCCUCCGAAUUUAAAAGUUACAAAGUAUAUGUAACUAUGAAUAUAUAUGGUCUCCUUCACAUAUUUUAUUUGAUUGUCUACAUAUGAAUAUUGUGAACAUAGAUUGUAUAUGCAAAUAGAAAUCAUUAAGCAAUAAUGACGAGUAAUUUUAAAAAAGUCUCAAACCAUGUUUAAUUGUCAAUUCCUUAAUUAAAAAAAUGUUCAGUUGUUUAUUAGACUUGGACAUAUUAGUGUUUAUUCUCCCGUUGCAACACACGGGCAUGUUUUCCUAGUAUAUAUUAAACGAGGAUGUGGUUGGGAAGACAAGAAAUGAUGUUGAACCGUCGUUAGAUUUUGACAUAAAGAAAUGCACUUUUACAUGGAGGUCGUAUUCAUAGAACCACAUACUGGAUGAACUUAGGGUCCCUAUUCAAACCGACUAGGAUAUUGCUUUAUCCCUACGUCGAGUUUUCUUGCGCACAACUUUGUAGAUGGAUCAAGCUACGAAUCAUCUUGUAAUGGGCUAAAACUACCGACCCAAGUCUAGCCAUAAGGGUAUAGGAAUUUAUACUCCCACAACUAGUCCCCGAGCACCAUGUAUUAUGAAGCGACACACCGUCUUGAACUUCUUCGACCAGUGAUAAGGACAAUCUUUUUUCAUAAUUACCGAAAAAGUAGGUUGUCCAAAUAAUGCAUGGUGCUCUUAAGAAAGAAGAUUUCUUUUCUCGUGAAGUGUGCCGACUUUACUUUUAUGAAAAGUAUAAGCUUCUAAAAAGCAAGCAUAUUCACCGUAAGGUGAAGUGUGACCACUUAGUCCCCGAGCCUGGUGGUUGGCACAGUCCCCGAGCACAACGUAGAGACUAGUCGAUAAAUCUCCGAGUGUGGUUGGGAACAUAAACGUACUCGGUGGUCGGCAUAGUCUUCGAGCACAGCGUAGAGACUAGUUAACAAAUUCCCGAGCGUGGUUGGGAAUGUAAGCAUGCUCGGUGGUCGGAGCAAUCCCCGAACACAGCGUAGGGAAUGGUCGACGAGUCCCCAAGCGUAGCUUGUUAACUAGGCCAAACUCCUAAAAAAUAAAUAUAGAAAAUAUGUAAUACAUGAUGUAUAAAUAAACUCUAGAUAAAAAACAACACCCAGUUUUAGAUUUUUUGUUUUAUUAAAAUUAGCACGAAUAGUUAAUUUAUCCUAGAGCUUGUACCAGCUCUGGUCUAGCCAACAAUCUAGAGCAUGAGAUGCGGAAAGACACACAUAGGAUUGCCAGCCUCACUAGAGAGCUACUGCCGACCACCCGAAACGUAGAGGGCGGAUCUCGUGCAUGUGUGGGGAGGAGUCGGAGACAGUGCCGGCUCUAAAAAACUCGUGUAGAAGAAAAAACUAAUCGGCUAACCAAAAAGUUAUUUUGAAAGAUAAUAAUAUCAAAAAUAUUAUGCUAAAAAUAAAUAAAAAUAUUAGAAGUGCACUUUUCUUUGGACGAAAGUCUGUUCGGUGGCGACAAAAUUGUUUGAUCCUCAAGUUUUAUGAUGUGUUGUCAUGAAGGUGGUCGCGAGCGCUGUUCUUUGUAGCCAUCAUUAUUGCGACAUGACAGGUGGUCAGAGUAGGCCAAGAAACUUGGUCGAAAGCCCGAGCAGAUCGGUGUUGUCGAUCUGUCUCCUUUUGUAGCCGGGAAGCGGCGAUGUGUUGUCGACGUGGUCGGAGACGUUGCUGAAGUGGUCGAAGCCGUAGCCAGCGUGGUUAGAGCCGCAACCGACGUCGAUGAAGAAGUGAUCGGCGCAGAUUAGAUCUGCACCUCCUCCAUGGUCGUGGCGGUGAAGUCGUUGAAGCCGGUGGUCUAGGUAAUCUGGCCGAUGGUGAACGUGAGACCGCUCGUCACGGCCGUGGAGUCGGAGAUAAUGACCAUCUGCUUCGCCUGGGAAGCUGUACGCACACUCCCUACCUGGCGUGCCACUAUCGACGAAAGCUGGUUGGCAGUCUACCUUAGGGUAUACCCACAGUAGUAGUUUAUCGGCAGACAGGUGCGCAAACUACGAACUUGAUGGUGACGUAAGACACAAACAAGGAGUUUAUCUUGGUUCGGCCGCCGUAAAGGCGUAAUACCCCCUCCUUACAUAGUCUUGGGGACAAGGUUACAAAUGUAGAAAUUAAUCCUAACCGGUUACAAUUCAACCCAAGUCUAGUCAUAAGGAUAUAUGGAUUUAUAUCCUCACAUAUAUCUUUACCGGCCAUGGAUGAAAGUCAUCCGAUAGAUUUAUCACUUAUUAUUCCGUUUGAGUCUAUUCCACCCAAACUUGAAUAAUAAAGUCUUAUGAUUUAGUUUUUAACACAUCCGCAUUUUGAAAAUAGUGCAAAAAGGUUUUAUCCCUAUGAAACUAUAUUUAUUUUCAUAAAAUUUUUAUUAUUUCUCUCUUUAUUUAUAUGAUGCCAUGUCAACAUAUUUAAUAUUUAUAAAACUUCAAUGAAACUUUAUUAGGACUGAUAUAAAACUCUAAUGAAACUCGUCUGGGACACGUUCGAACUUUGAUAAUGGAUGCUUUAAGUACAUACCUUCUCAUCGUUUCUUUAUAUGUUUAUAAGUACGUACCUUCUCGUCCCCUUUUUUAUAUGUCAUUCUCGAAAAUUACUAAAUACUCUCUGAUAUUUUGAACUUUAAGAUAUCAUGUUUGACCGCUCGUCUUACUCAAAAUUUUUGUACAAAUUAUAAAAUAAAUAAAUUAUUAUUAAAAUAUCUCUAAUAAUCAAAUAAAUCAUAUAAAAUAAAUAAUAUUAUACAAAAAGUUAUAAUAAAAUAGAUGGUCAAAUAAAAUGUCUGAAAAUCAACGACAGCGUUUUUUAAAUGGAGGAAAGUAUAUAUUAAACAUAUUAAUAUUUAUAAUGCAUAAUCAGUAUCAUUCGUUAGACCUUUAAAUUUAUUUUUAUAAUAAAUUUAUUUAGAGAUAUAAAUAUUACUAUUAUUUUAUAUUAAUCUAGCUAAAGUAAAAAAAAAAGCUCGAACAGACACUCAGCGACACUCAAUAAGAGACAAGGGAGUAUAUGCUCCGUACAUCUCAUUCAAAGGACGACUAAGCAUGUGCAAAUAAGUCAAAAUAAGCCAAUGCACUGUAGUUGCGCACGCAUGCACUAAUGCCCAGUUCGCAAAAAUUUUCAAGAUUUUCCGUCACAUUGAAUCUUUGGUCGCAUGCAUGGAGCAUUAAAUAUAGAUGAAAAUAAAAACUAAUUGCACAGUUUAUCUGUAAUUUGUGAGAUGAAUCUUUUGAGUCUAGUUACUCCAUAAUUAGACAAUGUUUGUCAAAAAAACGAAAGUGCUACAGUAGCCAAAAACCCAAUUUUUUGCCACCUAAACAAGGCCACAUCUACAAUACCACUUGAAGCAACAGCUCUUGCUUUGGUAGAAGCGAACUCCUUUUUUUCCUUCUUCUAGCUAGAAAGAGACUUAUUUAUCAUCUGUUUCUCUGGUCCGAGCAAAUCGCACAUGCAUAUCAGAUAAAAAAAAUAUUGUCGCACAUAUCGGGAAUUAGUUACUGAUACGGAACAAUCAUCUGACACAUAUCUUCUCGUAGCAGUAGGACUUUCGUGCGCCUGUGACAAACGAAGCUGACAAAUUAACGUUCUGCGUGUGCGACUGUGUGUGAGAUGUGGACAUGUGGUAGUAUAGACUAUAGAGUACAGCUAAGGCUGUCACGAUUUGGUUUCUGUUCGGGCGUGCAAGGGCUACCGGCGGCUUCGACCGCCGCGACGUGCUCCUCGGCCUCGGCGGGGCGCGCGGCAGCGGCCGGCUUCCUCGAUCAAUAACGCUCUGCUAAAUUUGCUACAUUUAAUUUUGAUUUAAUUUUCCGGCCUCCUCGAUCAAUAACGCUCUGCUAAAUCUGCUACAUUUUGAGUUAUUUUUCUCAAUAAAUUUAGCUAGCUGUGUUCUAACAUGUAAGCCGUGGCUUCUUAUGGCUGCCGAGCAAAACAAGCGCUAAAGCUCUUGUAGCAGGUAGCUACGAUCAUUUUGGUUCGACAGCGUCCGAUCCCUUUUGCUUUACAUAUGUCUUUCACGCUAAAAACCAAAUUUUUUUCAAGAUUCUCUGUCACAUCGAAUCUUACGACAUAUGCAUAAAGUAUUAAAUAUAGAUGAAAACAAAAACUAAUUGCACAGUUUGUCUGUAAAUCGCAAUACAAAUCUUUUAAGACUAGUUACUUCAUGAUUGGAUAAUGUUUGUCAAAUAAAACCAAAAUACUAUAGUGUUACAAUUAAAAAUCUUUUUAGAUCUAAAUAUGGCGAUAUAUACUGCAGAUGAUCUCUCCAUCUCAACCAUGCAUUUGCGUGUAGUAGGAAGCAACAAAAAGCUAGCUGCUAUAAAUAGGCCAUGUUUGGUUAAAUGGAAGUCUAGUCUCUAUCUUAUUGAAUGUUUGAAUAUAUGUAUGAAGUAUGCUAUUUAUACGAAACUAAAAACAUAAAUUGAGACUAAUUUACAAGAUGAUUUUUUAAGACUAAUUAGUUCAUAAUUAAUGAUAGAUCCAUGAUUGCUACAAUAAAAAAGUGCUAAUGAUAAAUUAAUUAGACAUACUAAUUUCGUCUUAUAGAUUACUGACAGAAUUUGUAAUUUAUUUUCAUUAGUAUUUGAACACACCAUGAACCACAUCCGAGUCCUUACAUCCAAACACCCUAUAGAAACCUGACUCAUCUGUUCUCCGGUUAUAGGAGCUAAUCGCACUUACAGUCCAUGACUCAGCUCGCCUGUUGAUCGAUGUUUACAGCUGCUGCUUUUUCGUCGCGAAUGAUUGAACUGUUACCGAAUAUGGGAAAAAAUUAGGUAGAAACUCUGCACCAUGUCUCUGUAUAGACCCACUUUGGAUGGAAGAUACGUGUCCCAAAACUCCAAUCACACGGAGACACGAUAUAGGAGGUCUACAUCCAAGAUGCGUCUCUAUGGAGGAAUCCUGGUCUCUCCGUUGUGUGUGUGUGUGUGGUUGUGGUCAGUUUCGUGCCCGUGUGACAAACGAAGAUGACAACACUCUGCGUGUAAAUAUGGUACAGAGAGUAUAGAUAGCUAAAACCCACAUCGAAUAUUUAGAAACAUACAUGAAGUAUUAAAUAUAAAUUAUUUAUGAAACUAAAAAUACAGCUAGAGAAUAAUUUACAAGACGAUUUUUAAAUCUAAAUAGUCUAUAAUUAAACAAUAAUUACUAUAAUUACAAAUAUACUAAAGUGUGUGUAUAUAUAUAUAUAUAUAUAUAUAUAUAUAUAUAUAUAUAUAUAUAUAUAUAUAUAUAUAUAUAUAUAUAUAUAUAUAUAUAUAUAUAAAAUUUUAGUUCCUUCAACCAAACAUCCGCAUGUCACGAUUUGGUGUGUUCAGUGAAUUUGUCAAAUACGGUCCAUACUUAGGCCUUGUUUUUACUUCCCAAAAAUUUUAUGAAGUUUUUUAAAAUUAUUUCCCAUCAUAUCGAAUCUUAUGACACAUGUAUGAAAUAUUAAAUAUAGAUAAAAAAUAACUAAUUGCACAGUUUCCCUGUAAUUUACGAGACGAAUCUUUUGAACAUAGUUAGUCUAUGAUUGGACAAUAUUUGUCAAAUAUAAACAAAAUGCUACAGUGUUCAUUUUAUAAAAAUUUUGGUAACUAAACAAAGCCUUAGCUAUCUAUACAUAGGGAUAGAUCGCAGUGAGAAUGAACCGAUGAAAACCGGCUGACCUAAACUCUGAUCUCCAAGGCUGGAGGGUAAGUUCUCCACUAGUAGUUGUGUUAUAGUAGUGUUCCUCAUUCUAUUUGACCCAAAUUAAAUCGGCGGUUUAACCGAUUGGACCAAUCAAAUCCGGUUCGGUCCUAGUAACUUGGGUACAGAUAGCUACGCGGGUCUGGAGUCUAUACCAGCAGCAUGUUACGACGAUCGUCCCCCGGCCCUGCCCGUUUCGUUGCCAAGCAAGUUUGGUCGUUUUUUUUUUUUGGAACAAGUUUGGUCGGUUUAAAACAAGUGCCGUGCAUCGCAAAAUACAGCAACACUUUCUCUUGGUCUACGAGGAACUAUAUAGACGUAGCACGAGUAGUUGGCAAUGAACCAAACCUCGACACGGCACAUGCAGCAGUAGCACGUGACAAACAACCAAAUCAAACAUCCAGUCCACUAGCUAGCCGAUCAUAGUUUUUUUUUUUACGGAACCUAGCCGAUCAUAGUUCUAUAUAUACUCCUAUAUAUAGCCACUCGCUAAACCAUGGCACGCCAUCGGUCGCAGCUCACAAGCAGCGCCAUGGGGAGCGCCACCAUGCCACGAAGUUUCGCCGCGCCACGCGCGCCAUGCCGCAGCCUCCAUACGCUCAGGUGCAGGUGCAAGGCUACCGGCGGCGCCGACCGCCGCGACGUGCUCCUCGGCCUCGGCGGGGCGGCGGCGGCCGGCCUCCUCAGCUCGUCGUUGUCGAACCGCGGCGGUGCGCUCGCGGCGCCCAUCCCGGCGCCGAACCUCAGCAACUGCCAUCCACCUGACCUCCCCGACACGGUGAGCGACAUCAACUGCUGCCCGCCGGGCGCGGGGACGGCGAUCGUCGACUUCACGCCGCCGCCGACGGUCGGGCGCCGCGUGCGCCCGGCCGCGCACCUGGUGGACGAGGAGUACGUUGCCAAGUACGAGAAGGCCGUGGCGCUGAUGAAGGAACUGCCGGACGACGACCCGCGCAGCUUCACGCAGCAGUGGCGCGUGCACUGCGCCUACUGCGACGGCGCGUUCGACCAGGUCGGGUUCCCGGACCUGGAGAUCCAGAUACACAACUGCUGGCUCUUCUUCCCGUGGCACAGGUGACGACGACGGUUCCAUGCAUGCUGGCGUCAUGUGAUCUUAGCUUGCUCGUGUAUAUGCUUUAGCGAUUGAUAAUAAUUAAUUAACGUGCAACUUUUGUGAACGUCGUUGCACUGCUUAGUUAGUUUCACAAAUUGGACAACGCGUGCAGGUUGUACCUGUACUUCCACGAAAGGAUUCUUGGGAAGCUCAUCGGCGACGACAAGUUUGCGCUGCCGUUCUGGAACUGGGACGCGCCCGGCGGCAUGUCGCUGCCGGCGAUCUACGCCAACAAGUCCUCCCCGCUGUACGACGAAAGGCGUGACCCUGCUCACCAGCCGCCAUUCACGGUGGACCUCGACUACGACAGGAUCGAGCAAAACAUCCCAAGAGCUCAGCAGAUCGAUCAGAACCUGAUGAUCAUGUACCGUCAGGUCAGUGUUAGUAUAGCUAGCUAGCUGGCUGUGUCUUGUUGUACGAAAUAUUACACCCUCGAUCAGGUGUCAGGUUUGCUAGUGCGACACUGCACUAACAGUGAACACUCAGUUCUUGGACGUAACUGAACACUUGAUCUUAAAACUUUAAAAUUGAACACUUGAUGUCUGAUUAGCAUAUGGAUGAUACACAUGCAUGUCUCUACUCUACGUCAGAUGAUCUCCGGUGCCAAGAAGAAGGAACUCUUCUUUGGGCUGCCUUACCACCAGGGCGACCAGCCAGACCCAGGCGCAGGCACCGUAGAGAGCGUCCCGCACGGCCCAGUACACUUCUGGAGCGGCGACCCGAGCCAGCCGAACAACGAGGACAUGGGCAACUUCUACUCCGCCGCGCGCGAUCCACUCUUCUUCGCGCACCACGGCAACAUCGACCGCCUGUGGUCGGUCUGGAACGGCCUCCGCGCCGGCAACACCAACUUCACCGACCCCGACUGGCUGAACGCCAGCUUCCUCUUCUACGACGAGGAGGCCCGCCUCGUGCGCGUCCGCGUCCGCGACUGCCUGGACACCGCUGCCCUGGGCUACAGCUACCAGGAUGUUGCCCUGCCGUGGCUGAACGCCAGGCCGACCACGGAGACCGGUUCUCCGGUUCCCGCCGCGGGCGCGCUCCCGGCGACCCUGAACCAGACCGUGAGGGUGGCCGUGACGCGGCCCAGGACCUCGAGGACCCGCCAGGAGAAGGACGCGGAGGAGGAGGUGCUGGUCGUCGAGGGGAUCGAGGUCGCCGACCACUUCAGCAGGUUCGUCAAGUUCGACGUGUUCGUGAACGAGUGCCAGGGCGGGGGCGGCAUGGGGGCGGCGGUGGCGCAGUGCGCGGGGAGCGUGGCGAUGACGCCGCACCUGGUUCGGCCCGGGAAGGGUAGGGGCUCCGUGAAGACCGCGGCGAGGUUCGGCAUCUGCGACCUGCUCGACAACAUCGGCGCUGACGGGGACAAGACGAUCGUCGUGUCGCUCGUGCCGAGGUGCGCCGGAGACAUGGUUACUGUCGGUGGCGUCCGGAUCGAGUAUGUUAAGUGAGGUCCUUCUAUUACGUCCUACCCUCCUACGAGUACAUCUCACAAGUGCUAGGGCCUAGAGACAACUGCUCUACGACCAGGAGUAUAUAUCAGGUAUACAUGAAUAACUGUGUGAUGCUGUACGUGUAUGGACGACUCCUGUUGAACUAUAUAUGUAGGGAACUAUUUGGGAUUGUGUUUGCGUGCCGCCGUGAUUAUAUAAUAUGGGCCAAUGUCAAUGCGACAUCAAUAAUUAACAAAUAAGGGCAUUAGUGUCUGUAAUGUGUAACAGCAUGACCAUAGAGAACAGUGACUACCGUGUCGCCGGAGAAAAACUUGUAAUGCGAUCGGAGAAAGGGUGGACACCAAUGGCAGUAUGUGGGGUGUAAAGCGCCACUCAGAUUGCUCAGAAGAUGGCAGAACCGCAUGUCAAACCAGUGACCGAUGUAAUGGUGUAGAUAAAUCACGACAUACGGAACUCAUCCAUUAACCAAAUCAAGGAAAAGCUGUACACAAAUUACGACAUACAAUACUAUCCAUUAAUCAACUCAAGGAGAUGCUCUAGAGAAAUUACGACAUAUGAAAUUCAUCCAUUCUCCAAUAUACCCAUUCGAAAGUGGCCCACACGAUGUAUGUGUGUGUGCGCGCGCGCGUGAUUCCCGUGUACUCAUCCGGGGUGUUCAGUACUAUUCACCACCAAGGCCUCGGAAUAGUGUGUGUAUAUGAGAGAGAGAGAGAGAGAGAGAUGCAACAUGCAUAUUUAUUUUUUAGACAAAGAAAUUACAUGCAUGUUUAUUAAGUUGUUGUAGAAAUUAGUAAACGAAGAUGUGGUUUGAAAGGCAAGAAAUGAUGUUGAAUGGUCGUUAGAUUUUGACAUAAAGAGUAUUCACUCUAUUACAUGCAGGUCAUCUUUAUAGAGCCACACACACUGGAUGAUAAGCUUAGGGUCCUGUUGCAAAAGUAGAAUACUGAAUAAUUAAGAUGCUGUGGAAACGACAGUCAUGGAUAUCUUUACCGGCCAUGCAUGGAUGAAAGUCAUCCGAUAGAGAUUUAUCACUUACUAUUCCGUUUGAGCCUAUUCCACCCAAACUUUAAUAAUAAAUGAUUUUGGAGGAUACGUUCGAACUUUGAUAAUGUAUGGCUUAUUAAGUAAUUCCCCGUCCAUUUUUAUACAUCGUUCUCACUCCUCAAACGUGUACCUAACUUUUACUAAAUAUAUAUUAAAAUAUUAAUAUUUAUAAUACAUAAUUAGUACCACUAGAUAGAUCUUUAAUUUAUUUUUACAAAAAAUUUAUUUAAAAAUACAAAUAUUUGCUAAUAUUUUAUAUUAAUCUAGUUAAGAUUAAAAAAAGUUUAACUAACACUCAUCUCAUAUAUAGCGACACAGACUAAGGGAUAGAGGGAAUAUUCCGUAUACAUCCUAUUCAAAGGACGACAUAAGCCUGUUUAAAUAAGUCAAAAUAAACCAAUGUGUUUUUUUAAAGGAAAAUAUAGUUGCACGCACCAACUUCAACUUGUGUGAGCACAUCUACAGUACCUCUUGCAGCAACAGCUCUUGUUUUUUUUUUUUUUGAAGGAAACAGCUCUUGCUUUAGUAGAAGCGAAUUCCCUUUUUCCCUUCUUCGAUCUGAAAAGAGACUUAUCAUCUGUUCUCUGGUCCAGGCAAAUCGCACAUAUCAGAAAAAGUGGUUUUUGCCACUUACCAAGUCCGAUCGAUGUUUACAGUAGGACUUUCGUGUGCUGCUGCUAGUACGUAGGUUCUCCUUUUUUCGUCGGAAAUAAUUAGUUACUCAUACGGAAUAAUGUGAACCGUCAUCUGCUCAUCACCAUCGUGGUUAUAGCAGUAGGACUUUCGUGCGCGUGUGACAAAAACGAAGCUGACAAACGUUCUGCGUGUGUGUCAGAUCGAUGUGGUAUAUAGCUAAGGCUAUCAGGAUAUAUUUGGUGUGUGGUACGAGUUCGAUCGGGCGCAUAUAGCUUGUCUAUACCAGCAGCAUGGUACACGAUCAUCGGCCCCCAGCCCGUUUCGUUAAUUACAGCGCAAGUUUUGUUCGGUUUAAAGUAUGCAUGUGCCGUGCGUGCAUCGCAAAAUUACAGUCACACACGACAAAGCAUAUGUAUAGACGUAUAGCACGUACUCCACCUGGCAACGAACCAAUCCUCGACACUUACGACACAUGUACGUAGAGUAGCACGUAACAAAACAAGCUAGUAGACCACAUGGUACGGCACAUCCAGCCCUAGCUAGUCGAUCAAUCACAUGUCCACACGUUCUGUAUAUUGCUUCUCGCGCUAAACUAUGGCAUUGGGCAAAAAAAACUUUUACCGAAUAAGACUCUGCCGAGACCCUUUUACCGAGUGUAAAUAUAUAUGGCUUUACCGAAACACUUGGCAAAGCAACUGGCUGCCGUAACAGGCCGGCCGAUCACAUGUCAUGCAACUCACAGGUUCACACUUCGUUCACAGCAGGUUCAUCACUGAGCAGCAGCUAGCGCCAUGGAGAGCAUCAUGUACUCAUGCCACGAGGUUUCGCCGCUCGUCGCGCGCCAUGCAUACCAUACUGUACGUACGUAGCCUCCAGACGCUCAGGAUGCAACGCUCUACCGGCGGUGCCCGACCGCCGCGACGUGCUCCUCGGCCUCGGUGUGGAGCGGCAGCUAGCGGCCGGCCUCCUCGAUCAAUAACGUCUUGCUAAAUUUGCUACAUUUUGAGUUUUCUCGUCAAUAAAUUUGGCUAGCUGUUCUAACCUUUAAGCCGUGGCAUCUUAUGACUGCCAAGCAAAACAAGCGCUAAAGCUCUUGUAGCAGGUAGCUACAAUCGUUUUGGUUCGACAGCCUCCAAUCCCUUUUGCUACUUAUAUAUGUACACCCUGCACUGCAAAUGCAUAUAUGAUCUCUUCAUCUCAACCAUUAAGAUAGGAACCUCUCAUCUGUACAUUCUUCUUCUUCCUCCGGUACGAGCUAACCGCACGUACAGAUCAGGAAAAUUAAAGGUAGGGUUCACCCAUCUGUCCGUGAUUCUCGCAUCUAGAUAGUUUAUCUGCGCUCACAAAUUGUUGCGUGUGUGUAAUUAGAUUCGGUUGAUAGAUAAGCAUGUCACGAUCUCGUGUACUUGUAUUCCGGUGAACUUUGCGUCAAACUGCAGCACCCAGGCCCAUAUAUACGUACUACUCAACCAGCAUGUCACGACCGGCUCCCUUUCGUUACCAAGUUUCCUUCGGUUUAAAAGCAUACAUAUAUAUGCACCGUUCUUUCAUUACUUUCUCCAGCUCCUGGAGGAGAAGACACGACCCAUAGCAUCACUUGCGUAUAACAAACUGUCAAACAACCAAACAGGCACGCAUCAGCAGUGAGAUACUCAGGUCAUAUGUACCCAUGAUGCCGUCUCGCAAAAAAAAUGUACCGAUGAUGUCAUAAUACUACAUCUAGAUAUAUAUACUCCCUCUACUCUAACUUGUAAGUAUUUUUCUAGCUUUUUUAAAUAUAUAAUUUUUGUUAUGCGGACGAGCCAAUAGCUCGGUUGGUAAAGCAUCCCCAUUGUGCAAUGAUGUAGGUCAGGAGUUCGACUCCCCACCUCCAUAUACGCAGGUUUGCUAGUUGUAAAUAAAAUUUUUCGUUUGUCCCAUGUCAAAGCACAGGUCUAAGGUUAGCCCUAGUCUUACGUGUGUUGCGGUACCGCUACGUAUGGGUAGGGCAGAGGUUCAAGUUUUUCUUGACCUAUAUGAAAAAAGUCUUCUUCUUAAUCACAAUGUCUGACCUACACACAAAGAUCCUAAGCACAGUGCCCCCGGUGUUGACACUCAAAAGUGUCCCAACAUGAAAUAUGGGCAUAACCAACACGUUUCUGACAUCCCAGAGGUGUUGGAAAUAGUUGGUGAAGUAAUCAAACAAAAAAGGAAGAAAGUGGCGUCUGCCUUGGCAGAGCCGACUUGGCUGACUUUGCAUAGUCGAUAAAACUAGUUCUUCAUGCCCCAAUUCGCUUAGCCGACUCCUAAGUCGGCUAAGCCGACUUUCCUCUAUGUCGGCCAAGCCACAAUGCUCAAACCUCGUGAAAAUCGGCUCAGCCGACUCCCAAGUCGGCUAAAGCCGGCUUUCAUUGGUAUUCCGAGUCAGUUUGGUUUCCGAAACAGUUUUGGACCCAUUUUAAACAGGGAAUUUGGAGAAUGUGUUUUGGAAUUGUUUCCUAGUAAGAUAAAACCACGCCGUCUCUAUAUACGAAAGGAUCAUGGUCGAUUAAGGAUCCCAACUUACAAUCAUCAAAAUACAUCUAUUACAGGCCUUUUACCCUCUUUUCUCCCUAUUCGUCAGUUCGUCACGUCUCCUAGCGAGAUUUAAUGGCGUUCGAGGCACCCUUGCUAGUCUUAGGAAACCCUCCGUGUGCUCCUCCUCGACGGAUCUUCCCAAGAGAUGCUCAAAAUUCUAACAGGUGAAAAACAGGCUCGACAUUGGCCUAACCGAUCUCUAGAUUGGUGUCUCGGUUCGCUGCAUUCUUGCUGUGAUCAAGGUCAUGUGUUUACCGUAGAUAUGCUAACCGUAGCUGGUGUGCGAUCCGAAACACUAUCCAACAUCAUUGCACCAACACCCAGGGGCCGUCGUAAUCCCUGCAGGUCGAGCUUUUUUUUGAGGGGGAGGGGGAGAGGGGAUGGACUUAGAUAUAUAUAUAUAUAUAUAUAUAUAUAUAUAUAUAUAUAUAUAUAUAUAUAUAUAUAUAUAUAUAUAUAUAUAUAUAUAUAUAUAUAUAUAAGUUAAAACAAGUUAUAAUUAGAAGGAAGGGAUAUAAAAAACUAUUCAAUCAUCUGUUCUGGUCGUCAGAGCUAAUCGCACUUACCAGUCCAUGACUCGCCUGUCAAACGACGAUGUUUAUAGCUGCUGCUUUUUUCGUCGGGAUUAAUGAACUGAUAGCGAAUGUGAACUGUGUGAUCUCCAUCCUACGGGGGUUAGCAGUAGCACUUACGUGCGCGUGUGACAAACGAAGCUGACAGCAUUCUGCGUGUGAGAUGUGGUACAGAUAGAGAGUAUAUAACUCUAAGCAUGUCACGAUUUAGUGUGUUCGGUGAAUUUUGCGUCAAAUUAAACGACCCAUACUUAGCUAUCAACAUUCUGCGUGUGAGAUGUGAUACAUAGAGUUAGAUAGCUACAGUACGUAAUUUUCUCUUGGUCUACGAGGAACUAUAUAUAUAGACGUACGUAGCACGCAUAGUUUUUUGAAACGAUUUUUUGUUUUUUUGAAACACGAGUAGCACGCAUAGUUGGCAACGAACCAAACAUCGACACGACACAUGUAGCAGUAGCACGUAAUAAACAGCCAAAUGAAACAUCAGUCUAGUAGCCGAUCAUAGCUCACACGUUCUAUAUAUAGCCACUCGAUCGGUAAACCAUGGCACGGCACCGAUCGCAGCUCACAAAGUUCACACACUUCACAGCACGCUCACCACUGAGCAGCACCUAGCGCCAUGUUGAGCGCCACCAUGCCACGAGGUUUCGCCGCGCUUCGCGCGCCGCCAUGCUGCAGCCUCCAGACGACGCUGAGGUGCAAGGCUACCGGCGGCGCCGACCGCCGUGACGUGCUCCUCGGCCUCGGCGGCGCGGCAGCGGCCGGCCUCCUCACGUCGUCGUCCAGCCGCGGCGGUGCGAUCGCGGCGCCGAUCCAGGCGCCGGACCUCCGGGACUGCCACCCGCCCGACCUCCCCGACACGGUGGGCGACGUCAACUGCUGCCCGCCGGGCGCGGGGACGGCGAUCGUCGACUUCACGCUGCCGCCGGCGGUCGGGCUCCGCGUUCGCCCGGCCGCGCACCUGGUGGACGAGGAGUACCUGGCCAAGUACGAGAAGGCCGUGGCGCUGAUGAAGGAACUGCCGGACGACGACCCGCGCAGCUUCGCGCAGCAGUGGCGCGUGCACUGCGCCAACUGCGACGGCGCGUUCGACCAGGUCGGGUUCCCGGACCUGGAGAUCCAGAUACACAACUGCUGGCUCUUCUUCCCGUGGCACAGGUGACGACGACGGAUCCAUGCAUGCUGGCGUACGUGUAGGGUGUCACAUGUGAACUAAGGCUCGUGUAUGCUUUAGCGAUUAAUAAUUAAUUAACGUGCAACUUUUGUUCUGAAGUUCAACGUCUAUUGCACUGCUUAAUUAGUUCUCUUUCACAAAUUGGACAACGCGUGCAGGUUCUACCUGUACUUCCACGAAAGGAUUCUUGGGAAGCUCAUCGGCGACGACAAGUUUGCACUGCCGUUCUGGAACUGGGACGCGCCCGGCGGCAUGUCGAUGCCGGCGAUCUACGCCAACAAGACCUCCCCGCUGUACGACGAAAGGCGUGACCCUGCUCACCAGCCGCCAUUCACGCUGGACCUCGACUACGACGGGACCGAGCCAACCAUACCAAGACAUCAGCAGAUCGAUCAGAACCUAAUGAUUAUGUACCGUCAGGUCAGUGUUAGUAUAGUCUUGUUGUACGCAAUAUUACAACCUCAGUUCUUGGAAGACCGCACUAACAUUGAACACUCAGUUCUUCGACGUAAUUGAACACUUCAUCACUGAUUAGCAUACGGAUGGAUACACAUGUAUGUCUCUUAUAUACGCCAGAUGAUCUCCGGUGCCAAGAAGAAGGAGCUCUUCUUUGGGCUUCCUUACCACCAGGGCGACCAGCCAGACCCCGGCGCAGGCAGCGUCGAGCUCAUCCCGCACAACACAGUACACUUCUGGAGCGGCGAUCCGAGGCAGCCCAACGGAGAGGACAUGGGCAACUUCUACUCCGCCGCGCGCGAUCCGCUCUUCUUCGCGCACCACGGCAACAUCGACCGCCUGUGGUCGGUCUGGAACGGCCUCCGCGCCGGCAACACCAACUUCACCGACCCCGACUGGCUGAACGCCAGCUUCCUUUUCUACGACGAGGAGGCCCGCCUCGUGCGCGUCCGCGUCCGCGACUGCCUCGACACGGCCGCCCUGGGAUACACCUACCAGGACGUCGCCCUGCCGUGGCUGAACGCCAAGCCGACCACGGAGACCGGGUCUCCGGCGCCCGCCGCGGGCGCGCUCCCGGCGACCCUGAACCGGACCGUGAGGGUGGCCGUGACGCGGCCCAGGACCUCGAGGACCCGCCAGGAGAAGGACGCGGAGGAGGAGGUGCUGGUCGUCGAGGGGAUCGAGGUCGCCGACCACUUCAGCAGGUUCGUCAAGUUCGACUUGUUCGUGAA